This 45969-nucleotide long non-coding RNA is filed under the name Capsicum annuum. RNAcentral's name for it is "long non-coding RNA (CANN_LNC008587)". Lineage: Eukaryota; Viridiplantae; Streptophyta; Magnoliopsida; Solanales; Solanaceae. The record is from RNAcentral.
CAUGAUUCACCAAGUGUAGUCUGAAAAUACUGAACAAAAACGUCAGCUAUGUUAUCAGGUUCGUGUUGCAUUUGCCUAUGCAUAACUUAAAUUUGAAAAAUUAUAUUGAUUGUAUGAGUUUCCAUUGCUUAAUGACAGUGAAAAAUUAUUCAGUGACCUCAUACCCUUGUCUAAUUCAUGUUGCUUUACUUGUCUGCAUAGGAAAGAACUAGCUAGGCUAAUUGAUCUCAAAGAACUAGCCAUGCUAAUUGAUCGCCUAAACCUUGCAUUCAGUUCUUUAUAUUCAGUAUAUAAUACAAUAUUUUUAGGUCCUGUUAGAGAAGACUUUGAACCUUGCAUAAUGCCUCUCUAUCCUCACCUACUUCAUGCACAUGUUGCUAAAAUUCUGCUUAUCUAAUCUCUUUAGGUGUUGCUUGAGAAGUUUUCGCUUUAGGUGUUACUUGAGAAGUUUUCGCUUUCUUACCACUUGAUACAUGUUAUAGCAUGUAAUUGGAAUGCAAAAAUUAGUCUAUACUAUCUAUUGAAAAUCUUAAAACUUAGUCUAUACUAUCUAUUGAAAAUCUUAAAACUUACUCCAUCUAUGACAAUACAAGACUAUAUUACUUUUCCUACUACUAGUUUAACCAUAUGGACGACUAAAGGAUCGAUAUCACUAAUGUCCUCAAGGUGGAAUUAGAUAUAUAACUAGGUUUGUUGCCCUUUCAGCUCUGUGUAUACUGACUGUAUAUAACAAAUCAGUUUCCUUGUCUAUCACCGUGCAUACACGAUAUACUAGUGUCGAAACCUGUGUAUCAGCUUCCAAAAUCUGCAUAAUUGCUUCCCUUUCCCAUCUUUCGCUGUAUAUCACUAGUAUACCAUUGUAUAUUCGAUGUAUACCGCUGCAAAUCAGUCCUUCGAAGACUUUGGCAUGGCGUUGGACUCGAAAGAAAUGCAAGAAGGGAUUCCAUUGGACUCGCAGGUUGGUCAUGCAUCAAAACAAAGAGAAUGAAUAAGUAUUUGCAUGGAAAAACAUCUAGUUUAAAGACGAAAGAUACGGGAAAAUAGUGUAUGGCCUUAAGGAAGUAAAAUCUGGACAAUCAAUCACCAAACUUUUCUUUAUCUUACGCACACCCAACAAGAGCAUGAAAAAUGACAUAACACGAGCUAAUGCACACCCAACAGGAGCAUGAGAAAUGACAAAGCAUAUUAACCUUUAGCAAUAACAAAUAACAAUUACUCAUUUGCUAUUGACUUAUUCCCCAAAAUUCUUUUAAUACAACAACCGACCACUCAUCUUUAAUAGCUUCGACAGAUGAUUAAACAUUACCAAGGCUGGGAUAAUUUUAGCACAAUUCAUGUUCUACCAUAUGCAGGAAAAGUCACACCAAGCCAGGGUAUUAACUUUAAACGUAAUCAUAUUUUAAGGUAUGAAAUAAACGUAAUCAUUAUAUUUUCCUAUACUGUCGGGUAGUUGUGGCUGUGGGUGGUAAUGGGUGGAUAGGGUCAUGUCCGAGGGGGUUGGGGCGUGGGGGCGUNNNNNNNNNNNNNNNNNNNNNNNNNNNNNNNNNNNNNNNNNNNNNNNNNNNNNNNNNNNNNNNNNNNNNNNNNNNNNNNNNNNNNNNNNNNNNNNNNNNNNNNNNNNNNNNNNNNNNNNNNNNNNNNNNNNNNNAGUGGGGGGCGCGUGGAUAGCGACGGUAGGCUGAGGGUUGGGUCUUGGAAUAUAGGGACCCUUCAGGGGAAGUCCAUAGAGCUGGUGAAGAUUCUUAGGAAGAGAAGGAUCAACCUUGCGUGUGUCCAAGAGACCAAGUGGGUAGGGUCUAAGGCUAGGGAUGUGGACGGUUACAAGCUGUGGUACUCUGGGAGCGACAGGCGUAGGAAUGGAGUUGGCAUCUUGGUAGAUGAAGAGCUUAGAGGUCAGGUAGUGGAGGUGAAGAGGAUCAACGAUAGGUUGAUGACUAUCAAGUUGGUCAUUCGGGGGUUUACCCUGAACGUGUGUAGUGCCUAUGCGCCGCAUGUGGGAUCGGAGGGGGAGGAGAAGAUGCGGUUCUGGGAGGCCUUGGAGGACGUGGUGAGAGGCGUGCCCAGUUCGGAGAAGAUUGUGGUAGCAGGGGAUUUCAACGGGCACAUCGGGGCGCUACCGGGAGGCUUUGGGGAUGUGCAUGGAGGUUUUGGUUUUGGGGAGAGAAAUGAAGAGGGGGCGACCCUAUUGGAGUUUGCGAGGGCGUUUGGGCUGGUGGUGGUGAACUCGGGCUUCCCGAAGAAGGACGACCACCUGAUCACUUUUCGGAGCGCGGUAGCCAGGACCCAGAUUGACUUCUUGUUGCUUAGGAAAGGGGAUAGGGCGCUGUGUAAAGAUUGUAAAGUCAUCCCGAGUGAGAACCUUUCGACCCAACAUAGGCUCUUGGUUAUGGAUUUGGGUAUGAAGAAGAAUAAAAAGAGGAGGAGUAAGGAGUGUAGACCGAGAAUUAAGUGGGGCGGUUUGACGCCAGUGAAUGCGUGGGAGAUAGGGGAGAGGUUGGCGGGAAUGGGGGUGUGGGAGUGUAGGGGGGACGUGGAUAAUAUGUGGGACAGGGCGGCAGCGUGCAUCAGGGAAAAUGCAAGGGAGGUGUUGGGUGUUUCUAGGGGCCGGGCCGGACAUCAUCGGGGGGAUUGGUGGUGGAAUGAAGAGGUGGGGAAGAAAGUGGAGACCAAGAAAGAGUCGUAUGCUAAGUUGGUGGAAAGUAAGGACGAAGAGGAGAAGCGGGUAAACAGGAAAGAGUACAAGCUAGCGAGGAAGGAGGCGAAGUCAGCGGUCACGGCAGCUAAGACGGCUGCUUUUGAGAGCUUGUAUGCAGGGUUACAGGGGAAAGGAGGGGAGAAAAAGUUGUUCCGACUCGCUAAGGCUAGGGAGAGGAAGGGUCGUGACCUCGAUCAGGUGCGGUGCAUUAAGGGGGAGGACGGUAGAGUGUUGGUGGAGGACGGCCACAUAAAGAAGAGAUGGCAGUCGUACUUUCAUAGGCUCUUGAAUGACGAGGGGGACAGAGCUAUUGUGUUAGGGGAACUGGAGCACUCAGGGGAGUGUCGGGAUUUUAGCUAUUGUAGACGUUUUAAGGUAGACGAGGUUAGACAGGCAGUCCGCAGGAUGCGAAGGGGUAGGGCGACGGGGCCGGAUGAGAUACCGGUGGAGUUUUGGAAGUUCGUUGGAGAGGCUGGUGUAAGGUGGUUGACUGCAUUGUUCAAUGAAAUUUUCAGGACGGCAAAGAUGCCCGAGGCGUGGAGGUGGAGUACCAUGAUCCCCCUCUAUAAGAAUAAGGGGGACAUUCAGUGUUGCAAUAACUAUAGGGGGAUUAAGUUACUGAGUCACUCUAUGAAGAUAUGGGAGAGAGUGGUCGAGGUGAGGCUGAGACGGAUAGUGUCUAUUUCGGAAAACCAGUUCGGAUUUAUGCCCGGCCGCUCGACGACGGAGGCAAUCCACCUGGUACGGAGGUUGGUGGAGCAGUAUAGGGAGAGGAAGAAGGAUCUGCACAUGGUGUUCAUCGACCUGGAAAAGGCGUACGACAAAGUCCCCAGGGAAGUGCUUUGGAGAUGCUUGGAGGUGAGUGGAGUACCGCAGGCAUAUAUCAGAGUAAUUAAGGAUAUGUAUGAGGGAGCGAAAACCCAGGUGAGGACGGCGGGAGGAGACUCAGAGCAUUUCACUGUCCUGACAGGAUUGCAUCAGGGAUCUACUCUUAGUCCCUUUUUGUUUGCGUUAGUAAUGGAUGUGUUGACGCGGCGUAUCCAAGGGGAGGUGCCGUGGUGUAUGCUUUUUGCAGACGAUGUAGUCCUGAUAGAUGAGACUCGAGGGGGUGUGAAUGACAAAUUAGAGUUGUGGAGGCAAACUCUGGAGUCUAAAGGGUUCAGGGUGAGCAGAACCAAGACAGAGUAUGUGGAAUGUAAGUUUAAUGACGUGAGGCGGGAGAAUGAGGUAGUAGUGAGGCUAGAAGCACAGGAGGUAGGGAAGAGGGAUAAGUUCAAGUAUCUCGGGUCCGUGAUCCAGAGUAACGGUGAGAUUGACGAGGAUGUCUCGCACCGUAUUGGGGCGGGAUGGAUGAAGUGGAAACUCGCAUCGGGGGUGCUGUGUGAUAAGAAGGUGCCGCCCAAGCUUAAAGGCAAAUUCUAUAGGGUGGUAGUCCGUCCGGCCUUGCUGUAUGGAGCGGAGUGUUGGCCAGUUAAGAACUCCCACAUCCAAAGAAUGAAGGUGGCAGAAAUGCGGAUGUUGCGCUGGAUGUGUGGACUGACUCGAGGGGAUAGAGUUCGGAAUGAGACUAUCCGGGAGAAGGUUGGUGUGACUUCAGUGGAGUGUAAGAUGCGGGAAGCACGAUUGAGAUGGUUCGGACACGUGAAGAGGAGGGGCAUGGAUGCCCCGGUCCGUAGGUGUGAGAGGCUAGCGUUGGAUGGUUUUAGGCGGGGGAGGGGUAGGCCGAAGAAGUACUGGGGUGAGGUGAUUAGGCGGGGCAUGGAACAGUUACCGCUCACCGCGGACAUGACCCUAGAUAAGAAGGUCUGGAAGACGCGAAUUACCNNNNNNNNNNNNNNNNNNNNNNNNNNNNNNNNNNNNNNNNNNNNNNNNNNNNNNNNNNNNNNNNNNNNNNNNNNNNNNNNNNNNNNNNNNNNNNNNNNNNNNNNNNNNNNNNNNNNNNNNNNNNNNNNNNNNNNNNNNNNNNNNNNNNNNNNNNNNNNNNNNNNNNNNNNNNNNNNNNNNNNNNNCCCGUUAUGAUUCCGUAUUCAGUGUUCCAUGCUUAUUACGAAUCUGUGUGCUUUCCUCUGCUUUCCUCUGUUUUAUAUUCCUUAUGGGUGUCGUAUUUAUGUUAUGUCAUCUGCUUCUGUGCUUUACUAUGUGUUUGUGUGAUAUCUUGUGCCUUGAGCCGGGGGUCUUUCGGAAACAGCCUUUCUACUUCAUCAGAGGUAGAGGUAUGGACUGCGUACAUCUUACCCCACAGACCCCACUAAGUGGGAAUACACUGGGUUUGUUGUUGUUGUUGAAAUAAAUUGAGUCUCUUAACAUGCUUUAAAGUAAAGCAAACAGAACACCAAAAAGACAUACAGAAGAUUCAAGUUUUGCAACUAUUAAAUGCAUAAUAGUAAGAAAUUUCACAACACAAGAUCGCAUUGAUCACAAAAAAAAAUCCUACCACCAUGAACUACCAUUACACGAGAAGAUACUGGAUAUUCAUUCUACUAUCAUGAAAGCAAGUCAAAUACUUAUCCUAUGAAAUUUUUAGCUAAAGAUAAGAUUCAGUCAACCAAAAUCUUUAAUUAGAGCACAUGAAAACAAAUUCUAAUCAAGACCCCAACCAAAAAACAACUAACAAAUGCAUAAACUUCACGGAGUUUGGCCUGUUUAAGAAAUUAGUGAAAGUGCAAGAAAAAAUCCACUCUAACACUAUUGGUUUAAUACAACCAAACUAUGCGAUAAAUCAAAACACUUUACAUUAUGAAAACAUCAUAGUUCGGAAUUGAAGGAAAAGAGGAGGCUUUUACCUUUUUAGGGCAGCAAUUUGGACUUAGAGCUUCCUCGAAAAAUUCUUUCCACCACCGGAAUGAAUUUAGAUUCUUAGCCUAGAAAUUGACCUCAAAUGAGUCGUAUCAAAUUUCUUGACACUGGAAUGGAAUUCUUCUUCGGACACACUUUUUGGGGAUCCCGCUAUUCGACCUCUCCAACCUUUUUCUCAAUGAAAUGAGUAGCCUAUUUAUAGAAAUAGAUGAGGAUUGAUUUUCUAGCUUCCACCGAUGUGGGAAUGAGUUUCUUCAAGGGCAUUUUUUGGAUUUUGUAGAGGGGAAAUUUGAAAUUAUGUAUAGGAUAAGGUUUAAGCUGUAAUCGUACAACUCCAUACGAAUUUGAAUUUCAAAUUUAAAAAGUUCAAACGGAUUGAGAGCAACGUUGGGUAAGAUCUGGUCAUACUUGAUUCUGUUGUUUUGCUGGAGUUCGUUGGUGUUGAUUUAGCUGUUGUACGCCAAUUUUGUUGGUGUUGUUUGGAAGCUGUUGUUCGUUGUUGAUGUUGCUUCACUGGGUUGGUCGCGGUUUAUGCUGGAUUUGUCGAUGGUUUGCUGUUGUCAAUGUUGGAUUGUAUGGUGGUGGCUGCUGUCAGCGUCUGUUGAUGGAGUUGUUUUGUACACUGGAAUUGGGUUAAGAUGGAGGAAAGGGAUUGGGCCGGGUCUGGUUGUGAAUUGGACUGCUGGAAUGGGCCUGGGGCGGGUUCAGUUGAAUUAAAAAGAGUGUGUAAAAUUAGAAGAAUGGUAAAUUACACAAAUCCCAUACUUAAAAGAAACAAUAUUAGCUAAUAUCCAUUACUUUUUUUAAAUUUACAUAAAAUUCCAUUUUUCAACUCUACUCUUCAUACAUGUCAAGAAAACCCCACAUCCUAUUUUUAUUCCACCAUUAACUCAUUCAAAAUUUCCUUCCCUAAAAUAUCUCCUUAAUUAUCAACAAUUAAAUCAUCUUCCUCCCUGAUUUUAUCUCUUACAUUAAUACUUAAAUUAUCUUCCUUUCUGAUUUUUUCUCCUCCAUUAAUGCAUACAACUUUUUUUUCCCUCUCCUAAAAUCCCUCCCAUUUUUUUUUAAAAAAUCUAUUGAUACAUAUAUAAAUUUAUUUAGUUAUUCAUACAUGUUUAUUCUUUUAAUGGUGAUUCAUAUGAAUGAUAAAUACAAUAUCAUUAUAUAGGUAUUAUGGUGAUUCAUACGAUAGAUACAUUUUGUAUGAUUUUAACGGGUGAUACAUAUGAUAUUAAUGGGUGAUAUAUAUUGUAUUAUGAUGAUUCAUAUAGUAGAUACAAUUAUUUAUUUCAAUUAUUGGGUGAUUCAUAUAUAUGGUAUUAUGUUGAUUCAUAUGAUAGAUACAAUUAUUUAUUUCAAUUAUUGGGUGAUUCAUCUGAUAUUAAUGAGUGAUAUAUAUGAUAUUAUGGUGAUUCAUAUGGUAGAUAUAAUUAUUUAUUUCAAUCAUUGUGUGAUUCAUAUGUUAUUAAUGAAAGAUAAUGGUGUAGUCAGUGUAGGAAACAAAAGUAAUAAUAUUUUUUUAAAAAAAGACUAAAAACAUAAUUGAAACAUAAUUAAAAUUAAAUCUAAAAAAAACAGACUAAAAUUAAAGACUAAAUUAAAGACGAAAAAGGAGAAAAAAGACCAAAAAAAAAUAUAUCUUUCAUAAUUAAAGACGGAAAAAGAGAAACAUAAUUAAAACACCUAAAUUACAUCUAAAAAAAAAAAGAGAGAAAAAAUUGAUACCUUUCCUUGAAUAAAAGAGAAUCUGUUACUUCCUUAAAUAAAUAUCUUGUUAGUUUCAAAUGUAUCACUUUUUUAUAUGUAUCACCAUUUUAAAAAACCGAGAUAAAAUGUAAUUAAUAAAAUAAUCAAAAUUUUAUGUAAUAUCACUUAAAGAUUAAGGGAUUUAUGUAAGUUACCCUAUUUUAUUUAUAAAUUCAUAUUUGAUCACUUGUUUGUAAUGAAUUCUUAAAUUUGAUUGAGUCAAACGAAAUUUCCUUUUGAAUUUUCAUUUUUAUUUUGUCUUACAUUUUUAUUUCUUUAUAAUUCGUCACGUAGUCUAAUUUUUUGGGUUAAUAAAAUCAGGCUUUUUAUGUUUUCCUUAAGAAUAAGCCUUUUAGAAAUCAAAAUUUAUCCAUUUGUUAACUUACUUGAGAAAAUUGAAGGAAAAGUAUCUUUCAAGUUUUGAGUGAAGGAUUAGUGACAUUGACCAACUUAAAGGGUCAAACAUAGUUAGAAAACUUGAUUAAGUUAAUUGUGGACUUGAUUAAUAUUUUCAAAACUUUCUAUUCUUUUCAAAAAUACUAAUCAACCCACACCCCUCUUCUCUCCAAAUCAUCGUCCGUCUCUCUCUUCUCUCUCUUUGACAGUUUCUCUCAACUCCUUUCCAACCAACAGUUCUGAAAAAUUUCUCUCUUCAAUCCUCGAUGACUUCAACCAUCGGCGAUAAAUAUUCGGGCGAGUUUCUUUUCGACUUUCAACCGUCAAUCGAUGUGAAGACUUCUUUGGCGACAACAACUUCUAGUUCUUCGUCCUCUCAUAUCUUCUUUCACAGGUAAAAAAUUAUGUCUUUUUAGUUAGGAAAAACCAGAGGAACUUGAGCCAACUUCUCUUUUAGUAUUAGUUAACAAUUUCAGUAUUUCUUGCUUAAAUUUAAAAUAUGGACUAAAUAAAAUCCUAAUUUAUGGCAUUUCUUCUCUACUCUUUUCGGUGUAAAAUAUAAUUUUUUGUCAUUAUUGUAGUUCUUGUUGUCAAGCUGUUGAUUCAAGUUGUUGGUGAUUUUUGGUCACUAUUGAUGUUCUUAGUGUGUGUGUGUUGUGUUGGUGUGCUGGGUUGAUUUGUUAUUUUUCUUGGUAAAAAUGGUAUUGCAACAGAUUAACUAUCUGAUGCAACAGAUUAACCACCUGAUGUAACAUAUUAACCAUCUGAUAAAACAGAUUAACCAUCCGAUGCAACAGAUUAACUAUCUGGUUCAAUAGAUGAAACAUCUAAUGCAACAGAUGAAUAGAAUAGAUCAUUCAUCUAUUGCGACAGACGACUCUUCUAUUUGAAAGAAAUCUAAAUAAUAUUGAUCCAACAGAUAACUCAUUUGGCAACAGACGAGUGAUCUGUUUCAACAGAUGUGUGGUCUUUUUUUAUUGUUUCCAACGGAUUACUCAUCCGCUGCAAUAAGUUGCUUAUAGGUUGCAAUAGAUAACCUACCUGGUGUAAUAGAUGAGAUAUCUAUUUUUAUUGUUUCCAAUGGAUUACUCAUCCAUUGCAACAGGUUGGUUAUAUGCUGUAAUAGAUAUCCUACCUGAUGCAAUAGAUGAGUGAUCUGUUUUUAUUAUUUCCAACGGAUUACUUAUCCGUUGUAAUAGGUUGGUUAUAUACUGUAAUAGAUAUCCUACCUGGUGCAAUAGAUGAGUGAUUUGUUAUAAUUAUUUCCAACGAAUUACUUAUCCACUGCAAUAAGUUGGUUAUAUGCUGCAACAGAUAUCCUGCCUAGUGCAACAGAUGAGUGAUCUAUUUUUAUUGUUUCCAAUGGAUUACUCAUCUGCUGUAAUAGGUUGGUUAUAUGCUGUAACAGAUAUCCUACCUGGGCAACAGAUGAGUGAUCUGUUAUAAUUAUUUCUAACGAAUUACUCAUCCAUUGCAACAGGUUGGUUAUAUGUUGCAACAGAUAACCUUUCUGGUGCAACAGAUGAGUGAUCUAUUUUUAUUAUUUCUAAUGGAUUAUCAUUCGUUGCAACAGGCUGGUUAUAUAUUGCAACAGAUAGCCUUCCUAGUGUAAUAAAUGAGUGAUCUAUUUUUAUUGUUUCCAACGGUUUACUCAUUUAUUUUAUUAGGUCGAUUUUAUGUUGCAACAGAUAACAUACCUGGUGUAAUAGAUGUGUGGUCUGUUGGAACUAUUAUUUUACUAUUUUGCAUGUUAGAUUUACUGUUAUAUUUUUUAACGAUGCAUUAAUCAAUUAUAAUCUAUUUUAUGUUCCUGCUAAUUUAAGAUAAUAUGGCUCCCAAAAGAAAAAAAACUGAAUCAAGUUCAAGUAAAGGAACAAGUAAAGCAGCUAGGCUACAUCCACCACUCUAUGAGCUUGCUUUACAAGUGUUAUCUCAAUUAGGAACAGAAGAUAAUGAACACGGGGAGGAGGAAUAUUUCAAAAGAGAUGAUCCAAAUAGUAAUAGCCCUUCCACCGAAGAGUUGGUCAAAACCUUCAGCUCUGAUCGUUAUCCUGUGAGAAUGCAGUGCGAUGGUGCCACAGAUUUAACAGGUAAUUUCUUGGUUAGGUCGGUCAUGGGAAAAUCUUUCGACACCUUCAGAAAAAUACUUCGAUAAUAAAAAUUGGAUUCUUAUUUCAGGGAAAGCUGCUUUGGAAAAUAUCUUAAUUGGUCGGAGGACAGCAAUACUCGUUUCCAAAUGAAAAUGGUAUAUGAUCUUCUCAAGCGUAGGUUUAUGUAUGAAAACAAAGAUAAGAUGGAUGAGGAUUGAGGUGUGGAUAAAUUACUGUGGCAUGCCUGUUUAUUUUGGUUGGAAGAAGUUUGCCAUAGUUGCUGGACUAAAAUGUUAUCCUCCUCCCCUUUCUCAAGUUAUACCUACUCUAACCCAAAAAAAAAACCCUGCACACCCAAAAAAAGCAAUGGCAAGUCGAGUGAUCUCGAUGAUCUGGUGUCCAUUGUUGGUCUAAGCUCCAAAAAUAAAAAUUUGAUAGAAGUGUUGAAAGGUGCUUGGUUUGAUUUGUACAUAAUAUUCUUUGGGAGAGAGACGUUAACAACAACAUAAGCCUUGGUUUAAUAAGUCUCUCGAGGAUCUUGAGGUAUUUAACAGCCAUCCUUGAGGUUAUGAAAGCUUCAAAAUGACUGUCAAAUACUUGUUGACUCCGUUAACGCCAAAGACAAUUAAUUUACAUGGCUUUCCAUGGGCUUUCAUGGUAAAUAUUUCUUUUAUCAUGGUAUGGAUCAUUUUUUUAUUCAAUAAUGCUUUUGAUUUAUUGGCGUUAUGUUAUAAGCUUGGGUAUUUGAAGUCAUUCUUAUUUGAGACAACAAGUGAACUACUAGGAAGAAGUUUCCUGUCCAAGAAUUCUGAGAUAGUUGUCGGCCAAAACUGAUAAAAAUGCAAAAUUUCUUGAUCUUUUUAAUCCCCUAAAGAAAGCAGUAAGUCUAAUUCUAAUCAAGUUUUUAUUUUAAUAAUGAUUAUUUUAAAUGAUUUCAUCAUCAUUCUAAUAUAUGCACUGAUUUAUUUUAGAUUGUACAUCCGUGGUUUGUUUCGACCAAUCGAGAGUUGAAGAUGCCAUUUUUUCUUACUUUACAGUCUAUGUAAACUUUAUCAGACCCUAAGGUCAUUGAUAGAAUAAAAAUGGAAUUAUUUGGAGAAACAACCAUCACAAGAAAAAUAAUUUUGGAGUGUGGGCUUGUUGUUGUUGAUGAUGGUAGUGGUAGUGGUGCUGCUGUUGGGGCUAAUGAUGCUCCUCUUAUAGUUUUUGAAACAGCAAGCCAUUAUGAUUAUGAUCAUACUAGUUAUACAUAUUUUGCCACUUCUAGCAAAUGUUCUGCAUGCAAAUGUCAAGACUGCAAGAUGAAACAUGAUGGAGUGAUUAAUACUAUUAAUGCACUAACUACUUUUGUAAAAGAAAUGACAUAUAAGAGGGGUGUCAUUCCAUCAAAGAGGAUUUCAUAUCCAUACACUCCACUAGAGAUCAAGGUGGCUAAGAGGAGAAGGAAAGGUAUUUCCAGGGUAUCAUCAAGCAUAAAAAAAGCAAAAUUACAACACCUCUGUCUUUGUCUUGCAUUGCUAUUCAAUGUACAAAGGCCACAAGAGAGCAGCAUGAGCUGAAGAAGGUGAUCUAUAUCAUCUGUUCCAACAAACAGACAGGCACAUAUUUGUUUCAACAGAUGAUACAUUUGCUGAAAUUAUCAAACGGAUAUAUACAUCUGUUGCAACUGUUGUCUAACUUGUUACAUUAGAUGCGUUAUCUAUUGCAAUAUAUGCCCGUCUAUUUCAUUAAAUCAAAUAGGUUAUUGUACUAUUUUAAUUUGUACCAAUAGAUGAGCCUCAUGUCACAACAGAUGGUCAUUUGUUCAAAAUUAUCAUACCGCUCUAUUUUACCUAUUCGAAUUUAUCCCAAUAGAUGAUCCAUCUGUUGCAACGUAAGACUCAUCUGUUGCAAUAGAUAGAUAAUCUAUUGUAUAUAUGUAAUUAACAUUGAUAAUUUUGUCUUUCUAGGUGGAUGUCAUAAUAGAAGCUAUUGCUGAAGAGCAUAAUAUCACAGUUGAUAAUCCAUCAACUGCUUCUAAAGAAAAAGAAAAAAUGGAGCUUGUCAGUUAGGGAGAACGGAAGAAUUACCCAUUUAAAGGGUUCAACAUCUCGGACGAGGCUCUUAAAAAACUAACAAAAUUGAUCAACGACUAUUCAAAAUGGAUUGCCGAUGGGCUGUUAAAGUAUCACGCUGACAAGUACAUAAAUAAAUUUUAAAGAUAUUGAUUUAUACAAUUCUUGUUGUAUAAACAUGGCAUUAACAUAUAUAAAUCAUCAUAUAGAAAACAAAAUGACGAACACUACAAAGUGAAUGAAUCGAGUCUUGGUUUUGAUAUGUUUAAUUUUGUUGUUGCACAUCCUGAAAUGAAGAAUUGGUUCUAUUUGAUAUCACAGCCCCAAACUUGCUGGAAUGAUGAGGUACCUUAAAUGCCAUACAUAUUACUAUUAAUUAAUACUUUAUUCAAUUGCAUCUGUGUAUUAAUUUUUUUAUCACGUAAUCUAAAAUGUUUGAUAAUAUGUGCAACACAUCGAUGUCAUUUUUUACUACCUCCAAAAGAAGGCCAAGUUGCAAGCACAAAAAUAAUACAUAUACACGACAGAUAAUUAUUUGUACAAAGUUUACAUCAAUAAUACCUACGAUAGGUAUUGUCAACAACAACCAGAAGUUUCCCAAAGUGAGGAGUGCUUAAUCAACAUCAUCAAAGGUUUUAGUAUUCCAGCUGACUUGCCUUGGAAUUUGGUCAAUGAAGUGUACAUCCCAAUCAAUUAUGGUGAUGAAUUCCAUUGUGUGUUGGUUUUUGUCGUUCUAAAAGAGAGGCGCACCUGAGUUUAUGACUCGAUGUCGCGAAGGAGACGUUCCAGGCCGUCGUCUGAGAUACUAAAGCUGACCAAAAUAUUGCCUACUUUCCUUGAUAUGAGUGACUUUUUGGACCAAAAGGUUCGUACUAAUUGGUCGAUGAUUGAAGCAUACCGAGAUAAAAUGGGUAAUCCAUUUGAUGUACAAUAUGUUGAAGGAAUUACUCAACAAACCAUUGGUAGCCUGUAAGUAUAAAUGUCAUGAUUUAUUUUUAUUUCAUAAAUUUUACAAUGCUUACAUGAACUGCAAGAUAUGGAUUAUCUGUUUUUUUAAAACGCAGGGAUUGUAGUCUUUUUGUUGCUGCUUAUGUCGAGUGUUUGAGCGAUGGAUUACAAGUACCAAAUGAUGGACUUGAUGUCGAAUUACUCCGCAAAAUAUAUGCUACUCUUUUAUGUAAAUACGGAGAAGUGAAAGCUCAAAAAUCGUACACAAGAGACAUUAAAGAUCCACGGCGACCAAAGCCAAAUUUCGUAGCACCGGAUGAAGAACAGCUUGUCCAUAUGAGUAGAUCUUUAUAGCUUGAGUCUGUCAAUGUAAUAACCUAUCCUCCUUGGUUAACUUGUUGAUUUAUUUGUAGAGUAGAUCAUUUGUACCCAUAAUAUUUUUUUUUACAUUUUACUUAUUUGUUGAGUUAUUUCAUGUAAUUUUUGAAGGCUUUGAUUUAUUUUAUGUUGUCUAUGAAUAUAAUUUAAUCCUUAGUUUUGAACUUGUUAAUUGAAAUGGAAUACUAGAUUCAAAUAUCGCAACAGAUAUUAUAUCUGCUGCAACAGACGGCAUAUCUUAUCAAACAGAUUUAGACAUAUAUUGCAACAUAUAGGUCAUCUGCUGGAAAUUAUGUAACAGAUCUUUCUACAUUUUUUAUUUGCUACAAUGGAUUAUCCAUUAGUUGCAACAGAUAGAUUAUAUGUUGCAUCAGAUUAUAUAUCUGUUGCGAUAGACAGACAAAAAUAUUUGCAUAAUGCAACAGAUGACAAACCUAUUGGAAUAGAUAAUCAAUCUAUCACAAUAUGUAUGAUAGCUGUUACAAUAGAUAGACAAUCUGUUGCAUUAUAAAAAUUCAACUUUCGUCAGACAUAAACAUUUUUCACUCAUGUAUGUAAAGUGAAGUGAAGUGGCUUGAAAUAAAAAAUUGUUAUCGUUUUCAUCUCUGUCUUUGUACAUAUUCUUCUUUAUACACGGGCUCCAACCAUUUGGUUAGUACCCCAUAAUCCCAUACCUCAUGCAUAUUUUCCACAACGGCAUCACACAUACCAGCCAUUUCUAUGCCGGUAACAAACACUCGAUAUAUGCAAUUGAGUACGACCCAUACGCAGCACCGGUUUUAUUUUUUAAAGGUGGAUGUUUUUAUUUUGACCUUCAAAAUCCCAUGAUUCCUUUAUCAAGACUUCAAAAGGCAAAUGAUCCAUCAAUUUACUUUGCACCAAUAAUUUGGGGAACAACAUCAAGAGUGGCUGUACGUGGGUUAAAAAUAUAGCCUCCUUGAAGACAGGUAAGUUGUAGCCAUAAACCUUAAUCUUUCCCUCGUCGAGUAGUAUCUCAACAAUGAGAAAAUGUUUGACUUUCAUCUUCAUGACUGCAAGGAUUCUCUUUGCCUUGGUCAAGCUUUUGCUGUGUGGAUAUGGCCUCUUCCCUCUAACAUAGUUAAUUAUGUCUUCAUCCCAUUUGAAUGUAGAAACUAACUUAUCAAUUCCCCAGCCACAGGGACCAGCUCGUCUGUGGAUAUUAUCAAACCUACUCUUAAAAUUAUUGAAGUUGAGGUCCAUCAUUCUAUCGGCAACAUCAUAAGCAUCCGGGUACGCUAAUUGCCUGCCCCUCAUGAGGAAGAGAAUUUCAUCAACAUACUAUGGUAUAAGAAGAUAAUUUUUAAAUAGGUUAGUAAUUAUAAAGAAGAAAAACAUAUUAGAAAGAUUCUGUUGUAGAGGGUUCUCUAAAUCAGUUCACAGAUUACCUAGCUAACGCAACUUAUGCAACAGAUUUGUAUUAUGUUGCAACAAAAUACCCAGCUAUUACAACAAAUUACAUAUCUAUUGUGUACCUUCUUGUUCAUGGAGUAGAUAGGAAGUCUAGGUUAGCAAAAGUAAACUUACAUUGUCCACGUACCACUGACUCAUAUUUGUCAUACUCGUGAAGUUUUAGGCGGCAAACAAAUGUAUGGUGUAUUCUUGUGGAACCUUCGUCUUAUCAGUCAUGAUUUUUUGCAGUUCCUUCUUCCCUUCGUCGCCAAGUAUCGCGUAUAUGUCCACCUUCUUCAGUGGCCUAUGAACUUUAACAACUCUUUGAGCGGGAGGAGUUGUAAUUUUUUUUAUUUUCAGAAUGGAGAGUAUUUGUCUAAUAUUUCUUCUCUUCCUCCUAACCACCACUGUAGGAGUUUAUGGCUCCCUCACCUUCUUGGAUGGUAUGACACCCCUCUUGGAUUUCAAAUCCUCGGCAGCUUCAGCAAUAGCCUCUAGUUUUUUAAGGAGUUUAUCUUCUCUAUCCUUUCAUACUUUGCAUUUGCAAUAAGAACAUGAGGGUGAAGAGGGGUGAGAGGGACUACUGUAAGGGUGGGAAGGUUGGUGUAAGGGUGAGAGGGACUUGUUCAAGGGGUGUUUCCAAACGUAUUUAUUUUUUCCUGAGCACCAACAUACUUAUAAUCACGACUGGCAGCAAUAACAGUAUCAGAAUGGCUUCCACUGUUAUCAACAACUCCACCAGCAACACCCUAAAAGAAGCACGCGGAUCUGUUGCAGUAAGUUGGCCAUGAAGAGCUUCAACAUUAGGCUGACCUUGCCUAACUGCUCUUUUUAUGGCUGUUGCUCCAGCCAAUUCCUUCUUUAUUAACUCCACCAUUGGGUAUGUUGUUGUAUCAAUAAGACCUAGAGUAAUAAAAGAAGUCAUCCCCAACUCCUGCUCAGUAGGCACGAUCCAAGGAUGCACAACCUAUAAAAAGACAGAAGGUAUUUAAAUCAUUUCAUAUAAUAAUAAAUUGCAGUUAGUUAGGUUACAUGUUAACACAACCUACUUAUGCAAUAGAUGAUCUAUCUGCCGAAACAGCUGAUCUGUAUGUCACAACAGAUUAAAAAUUUAUUGCAUUAGAUUACCCAUCUAUUACAUAAUUUGCAGUAUAUGGGUAAUCUGUUGAGUCAGGUUCAGGGAACCAGAGAAACAGAUAGUUAAUUUGUUGCAAAAUAUGUAUCGUCUAUCACAAUAGAUUAUCCAUCUGUUGCACCAGUUACAGUUGAUGGGUAAUCUAUUGUAAACGACGACCCAUCUAUCGCAAUAGAUGGCACAUCUAUUUUAAUAUCUUUCUUUGAGGAAAAUUAUUUUAGUUGAAAGAAGAUGUACUGUAGCAUCCAGAGGGUUAAAGAGAUCAGCCUCCUUAAUUUUUUUCUGCCCUUUGUAGCCAACCACCUAAGGAUCCUUGGAUGAGAAACCUUAUCCGAAUAAUCCUUGAACUUCUUUCGGAGGGAAGGAAUGACUUCAAAUGCCCAAGCCUAAAAAUGUAAACAGGAAUCAUGCAAAAAAAAUCAUAAUAACUAUAUUCAAUACAAAUUAAUGGAUGAGUAAAAAUAGUGAUUAAUUUUACCAUAAAAGCCCAAGUAAAGUCGUAUAAUGUGAUCAUCCCUUGGGAUAGCUUUGUCAGUAAAUAUUGGACAGUCAAGUAGUAACUGUCAUAUCCCCAGGGAUGAUCAUUGAAUUUCUCAAAAUCAUCAGCAAGCGUCAACAAAUCAUCUUUUAUGACUUUCCUGACGUCUCUUGCCAAUAUAAUAGAAUGGAUAAACCAAACUAAGCACAAUUUCUCCUUAUACUGCUUUGGUAUGGUUUUAUCCUCGAGAUUUGCUAUCAAAUCCCCCGCUUUGUAGCUAUGUCCAAUAAUACCCAACAAUGCAUUCUUUCCCUGCGUUUGUUGGACCUUUUGUUGGAUGUUUCCUUGGUGAGAGGUUCUUCUAGACGAUCACAUCUCAAGCUCGUCACUAUGGCAAACUCUUUCAAUCCAAAACAAACUAGCAUGCCACAGUAGUUGAUCCAGAGUUCAUCCAUCUUUUUUUCUCCCUCCUUCGAAUCUUUAUAAUCCCCCGCAUACUUUAUCUUACAUUUUGAGAAGACUAAAUACCAUGCUUAUUUGAAAAUAGAGAGUGUGGUCCUCAAGCAGCUUAAGAAAGCAUGCAAAGCAACUCCUCUUAAAAAGUCCGUCUAUGUUUUCAGUCUUCAUAAUACUCCUAAAUUCAUCAAAACCUUUCCUCAACUGAUAUUUAAGAGCGAGACUUCUUUAGGGUGAUCUAUCGAUAUAGCAACUCAAAACUUGUCGAUACUAAUGGUUUUGAUAGGAUCAUGCUGGGAUUUCGAUAUUAAUACACGGACCAUUGGUGAGAAAGAGUUCUCACUUUCCUCAACUUUAUUUUGCCCUGAUUGAUAUUGUUCAGGAAGUUCCUUCGAAUUUAUCUAUACUCUAGCCUUUUUGUUGGGUGGUGAGAAGUUGAUCCACUUUCAGUUUUAGUUUUUUUUCUUUUGGGAGACAUUUUUUAACUACAAACAAUAGAAAAAAAUAAAAAAUACAAAACAUUUGAUGUCUACAUAAUUUUUUUUUUAAAAAGGUAAUACAAAUUUUAAUAAAUUACUAUACGCCACAUUACAAAAAACACUCCAACGAAUAACCCAACAAUUGGAACAGAUAGGGAAUCUGUUUGAAGACCUAUUUAAUAUCUCCCAACAGACCCUUCACCUAUUGCAACAGAUGGACCACCAAGACCACCACCAGUACCACAACCAAUGCCACCACCAAUGCCACUAAGACCAGGACCAAUGCAACCAAGACAACCACUAAUGCCACCAAUACCAACAACAAUACCAAGACCGCCAACACUACCACCAAUGCCACCAUUACCAACACCUAGACAACCGACACUACCACCAAAACCAUAAAUACCGACACCACCAACAACAACCAACAAUAAUACCACAAAUACUAUCCAACAAUACCACGAUAGUCAACAAAACACUGCAAUAAAACUAGGGUUUUCUCGGGUGCUUUUUAUGUUUUUAGCAUCAAAACUCAAAAUUGUUAACUCAUUCUCGAAGAUAAUACAACUAAAAGUCUUCUUUUUCAUCAUUAACUAAAACCCCUAAUUUUAGAAUGAAGAACAAAUGUGGAACUCUUCUCAAACUCUGUUACCUGUAAAGACAGAGAAAAUAAUGGAUAAAAGUGAGAAUGAAGUCGAAAAUAACAACUAUGUGGUCAGAAAUGGAAAGAAAAUCGAUCUGUUUUAAAGGGUUGAGCAAUAUGUUGAGUAGUUAUUGUCUGUAUUAGUGAGAGAGAAGAGCAAGAACAUGAGAUUUGAAAUGAGGAAAAGUUUUUCGUUCAAAUGGAUGAUUUGUAUGGGUUGAUUUGUAAUUUUGGAAAAGAAUGACAAGUUUUGAAACUGUUAAUUUGGUCUGAAUUGAUCUUAAUUAAUUUUUAAUAUUUUGAAAGAUAUAGUUUUUAAAAUAUUAAGUUAAUGAGAAUCUUUUCAACUCAGAUUGAUCGAUCGAUGAGUCGGGUUGGGAUGAACACAAUACCAACACCAUGCAAUUGCAAGACUCAAUUGAAGUUAUAGUUGACCCUAUGAACUCAUUCAUCCCUAUUUCUACCUAAAUCAAUUUAGGUACUAGCUUAACAUUAAGCUAAUGAGAAUAUUUUCAACUCAAAGUGGUCGAUCGAUGACUCGGGUCGAGAUGAACGCAAUACCAACACCAUGCAAUUGCAAGACUCAAUUGAAGUUAUAGUUGACCCUAUGAACUCAUUCAUCCCUAUUUCUACCUAAAUCAAUUUAGGUACUAGCUUAACAUUAAGCUAAUGAGAAUCUUUUCAACUCAGAGUGAUCGAUCGAUGGCUCGGGUCAGGAUGAACAUAAUACCAACACCAUGUAAUUGGAAAGACUGAAUUUAAGUUGUAGUUGACCCUAUGGACUCGUUGAUCCUAGUUCUACCAAAAUCAAUUUAGGUACUAGCUUAACAUUAAGAUAAUAAGAAUCUUUUCAAAUCAAAGUGGUCAAUCGAUGACUCGGGUCGGGAUAAACGCAAUACCAACACCAUGCAAUUGCAUAGACUCAAUUAAAGUUAUAGUUAACCCUAUGGACUCAUUCAUCACUAGUUAUACCUAAAUCAAUGUAGGCACUGGCUUAAUAUUCAGAUAAUGAGAAUCUUUUCAAUUCAGACUGAUCGAUCGAUGACUCAGGUCGGGAUGAGCACAAUACCUACACCAUGCAAUUACAAAGACUCAAUUGAACUUUUAGUUGACCCUAUGGACUCAUUUAUCCCUAGUUCUACCAAAAUAAAUUUAGGUACUUGCUUAACAUUAAGCUAAUAAGAAUAUUUUCAACUCAGAGUGAUCGAUUGACGACUCGGAUCGAGAUAAACACAAUACCAACAUCAUGUAAUUACAAAGACUCAAUUAAAGUUGUAGUUGACCCUAUGGACUCAUUGAUCCCUAGUUCUAGCAAAAUCAAUUUAGGUACAGCUUAACAUUAAUCUAAUGAGAAUAUUUUUAACUCAGAGUGAUAGAUCGAGGACUCGGGUCGGGAUGAACACAAUACCAAUACCAUGCAAUUGCAUAGACUCAAUUAAAGUUGUAGUUGACCCUAUGGACUCAUUCAUCCAUAUUUCUACCAAAAUCAAUUUAGGUACUAGUUUAACAUUAAUCUAAUGAGAAUCUUUUCAAUUCAGAGUGAUCAAUCGAUGACUCGGGUUGGGAUGAAUAUAAUACGAACACCAGACAAUUGCAAAGACUCAAUUGAAGUUGUAGUUGACCCUAUGGAUUCAUUUAUCCCUAGUUUUACCAAAAUUAAUUUUGGUACUAGCUUAACAUUAAGCGAAUGAGAAUCUUUUCAACUCUGAGUGAUCGAUCGAUGACUCAGGGUCGGGAUGAACGCAAUACCAACACCAUGUAAUUGCAAAGACUCAAUUAAAGUUGUACUUGACCCUAUGGACUCAUUGAUACCUAGUUCUACCAAAAUUAAUUUAGGUACUAUCUUAACAUUAAGCUAAUGAGAAUCUUUUCAACUCAGAGUGAUCGAUCGAUGACUCGGGUCAGGAUGAAUGCAAUACCAACACCAUUCAAUCGCAAAGACUCAAUUGAGGUUAUAGUUGACCCUACAGACUCAUUAAUCCCUAGUUCUACCAAAAGUAAUUUAGGUACUUUCUUAAUAUUAAGCUAAUAAGAAUUUUUUCAACUCAGAGUGAUCGAUCAAUGACUCGGGUUGGGAUAAAUGCAAUGCCAAUACAAUGCAAUUGGAAAUACUCAAUUGAAGCUGUAGUUGACCCUAUGGACUCAUCCAUCCCAAGUUCUACCAAAAUCAAUUUAGGUACUAGCUUAAUAUUAAGCUAAUGAGAAUCUUUUCAAUUUAUAGUGGUCAAUCGAUGACUCGAAUUGGGAUGAACGUAAUACCAUUACCAUACAAUUGCAAAUACUCAAUUGAAGUUGUAGUUAACCCUAUGAACUCAUUCAUCCCUAGUUCUACCUAAAUCAAUUUAGGUACUAGCUUAACAUUAAGCUAAUGAGAAUCUUUUCAACUCAAAGUGACCUAUCGAUGACUCGGGUCAGGAUGAACGUAAUACCAAUACCAUGCAAUUAAAAAGACUCAAUUGAAGUUGUAAUUGACCUAUGGACUCAUUUCUCCCUAGUUCUACAAAAAUUAAUUUAGGUACUAGCUUAACAUUAAGUUAAUGAGAAUUUUUUCAACUCAGAGUGAUCGAUCGAUGACUUGGGUCGGGAUGUACGCAAUACCAAUACUAUACAAUUGCAAAGACUCAAUUGAAGUUUUAGUUAACCCUAUGGACUCAUUCAUACCUAGUUAUUCCUAAAUUAAUUUUGGUGCUAGCUUAACAUUAAGCUAAUGAGAAUUUUUUCAACUCAGAGUGAUCGAUCAAUGACUCAGGUUGGGAUGAACACAAUACCAACACCAUGCAAUUGCAAAGACUCAAUUAAAGUUAUAUCGUCCCUAUAUUUCUAGUUAAAUUAAUUGCAAUGAAAUCUGUCGCAACAAACGACUGAGUUGUUGAAAUUUUUCUAACAGAUAUUCACAUCUGUUGCAACAGAUGACAUAAAUGAUUUAAUUAUCAGAUAGACUUUUGCAUCUAUUGUGACAGAUGACUGAGCUAUUGCAAAUUUUUAAAUAGAUAUUGUUAUCUGUUGCAACAGAUGUCAUAUCUUAUUUAAUUAUCAAAUGGACAUUUGCAUCUGUUGUUAAAUAUGACUGAACAGUUGGAAAUUUUCAAACAGAUCUUGAUAUCAGUUGUAAAAGAUAACAUAUCUGAUUUAAUAUUAAAUAAACAUUUGCAUCUAUUGUUAUAGAUGACUAAGCUAUUGGAAUUUUCCAAACAGAUAUUUAUAUCUGUUGCAACAGAUAAAAUAUCUGUUUAAAAUUUCUUUUUUCUUUUAAUUUUAAAGCAAGCUUCUGUCUAAAAAAAAAGAUAAAUAAAAUAGUACUACUAAAGCCGGUAAAAAAUAUUUCUUGGAUAACUCAAAAAUCUCAUUGACUAGUCUUGUCUUGUCUUUUCAAUGUCACCCAUCUUCCUCGUGCUCCUCGAGUUAUUAAUGAAUAUUAAUUAAUGAAUAUUUAAACCCACGUCUAGAAUUAUCUCAUCUCUCCUUCAGCCUUAAAUUUAUUUUAUUCAUCUUUCAUCUUUUUCUUUCUCUCCUCUUUAGGGUUAUCACAACUUUUUUUUUCUCUCUUUUCUCUCUUUUUUCUCAUAAAGAUCCUUUUGGAACUAAAUUGAUCCAUAUCUUUCCUUGAUUGAAAUUGUUGUUUUGAUCUCCUUUUGACAUUGCAGGUAAGGUAUGGUUCACUAUUUCUCUUUCGUUCUCAUCUUCUUCUUUGAAAGUUAUUUACAUCUAUUUUUUAUUUAAUUGCCAUUUACCCAUAUCAUAUUUAUUUUAAAAAUUUAAUUUUUUUUAAUUGUUGAAUAAAUGAACCAAGAAUUUUUAAUACAAUAUGCAAAAAAAGUCAUCUGUUGGGAGAAGUUUAAAAGCCUUGUUGGCAGUAUCUUUAUUUUUGUAUGUACUUUAUUUGUUUUAUUUGUUAUUGAUGCUAUUAUUGAUGUUUUUGGUGGGGUUGAUGUUGUUGGAACUUGUUGUGCGAUGUUGUUGAUAGUGUUGGAAUAAAGGAUGUUGCUUCUUUGUUGUUGAUGAUAUUGUUGAUGGUGUUGGAAUAAAUGAUGUUGUUUUUUUGUUGUUCAUAUUUUUUAUUUGUUGUUUCUUUGUAGUUUAUGUUGUUGUUGAUGUUGCAAUAGAUGGAGCAACUGCUAAAACAAAUCAAACCACUAGCAAGGCUGGUUUGAUGUAUUCCAACAGGCUCCACUGUAAUACCCCGAACUUUUCUUAAGCCUAAAUUAUAUCUCUAUAAGAUUAAGGAAUGACUUCCAAAGUGAGUAGUGUUUAAAUCAUUUAUAGUUUUCCUAAUUUUGACAUUUUAUCAUGUGGGAAACAGAAUUAGCUUUUGAAGGAUACCUAUUUUGCCAAAAUCCAAUAUCAAAGUAGAAAGAUAUGGACGUUUUACAGAGAACUACCUGAACUGCCCAGGAGUGACGGGUAGGCCAACGGACCGUCUCUCCGACCGUCGUAACUGAGGUAGUAAACCCUUUCACUGGUCCAAGUGUAACGGUCAGGCUGAUAUAGCAUCACCCAAGCCGUCGUAACUAAGGCAGUAAGUCUCUGUUCUGGCCCAGGUGCGACGGUCAGACCGUCAAGCCAGCGACGGACCGUCAAGCUAGCAACGGACCGUCGAGCCAGUGAUGGACCAUUGCAUAAUCCAUCGUAGAUCCCAUUCAACAUUUUAAAGCCAGUGUUAAAAGGGCUUUUUGGUCUUUUUCCACUCUUUUUAUCACCUAGAUAUAUCAAAAUGAAACAUAGAACUUCAGAUUCAUCCACAGCAUCAAGAGCUAGGGUUUUCUCUCAAGAUUAACUCUCAAGAGCAAGACCUAAUUCCUUCUCCAAGAUUUCACCAUAGUUUUUACAAAUUGAUUUAAGAAUCAAGGUUCUAAAUUCAAAAGCUUCAAGAACCCUCACUCAAGAGUACAAAAAAGAGUCUCAAGCAAGCUUGUUGUAACUCUCCAAGAACCUAUCCCGAGACGUCACACGGUGAUUAAGGCCACACACAGCCUUAAGCUAACCCUCUGAGCCUGUCUUUACUCCUAUAAUUCACCAUGAUAAUAAUCGAGCGGUAAUAAGAAAGAGUAAUCAUGCCAUAAACAUACUGAGAUAUAAAGUAAUACUGUCCUGUACAAUCAAAAUACUAACGUUCUGUACAUAUUGGUACUCUAGUCUAACAAAGCCUCUACUACACAAGAUUGAAGAGCCAUUGGGACAGAUCCCCAACUGGCUCGUACUGAACUGAAAGUAAACAACCAUCUAUUAACAAGACAAAAUCGAAGACACAGGUCCUCGAACCAUGAGGACUCACCAACCGCAGAAAUAUAGAUAAAGGUACUCAAAGAUCACUGUCGCUGUUGAGACUGAGCACCUGAACCUAUAUCAUGAGGAAAUAUAGAAUACAAAAGAGUAUGAGAGUCAGUACUUGGGAAUGUACUGAGUAUGUGGGGGUGCAUGCAACAUUUUAAAUAAUAUCAUAAAUGUAUAAGAAAAUCAUGUCUGCUGACAAUAAUAAUCUCUUCGCUUGAAUUAUCUAAAACAUCAUUUCCGUAAGUCAUCAGUGAUAACAUAUGCUUCAUAAAUCUCAUAAAUCAUUUAACUCAACUCAAACUCCUUGAAUCAUGACUUAGAGUGACUCGGUAUCUCAUGGUACUUAGAUUAUUAUGGACGAGGGAGUUUCGUAUAACCGAUAUGACUAUGCUAUGUGAGCCGUAUGGAGUCCAACGUUUUGCCCACCUAAGGAGAGAACCCCACAUUGGCAGGGGUGUUGUACUCUUGCCAGGGAGUACAACCUCAAUCUCAUCUUCACAAUCUCAUACUCGGCCUUUGGCCCACAAUUAUCAACAUCAAUCCUAUGGUGGCACAUAGUUUUGGGGAAAUAUCAAAUUUCUCGCUCGAUGCUAAAUACUCCUCCCAGCUCAGCUCAGAACACAUUAGGAAAUCCACCUCAAUCAAUAUCAACUCAUGGUUCUAUUAUAAAUACCAAAACAUAAAUAUAUAUCUCAUCUGAAAAUCAUAAACAUUUUGUGGAUUCCUAACAUGACUCAACUCAACACAAGCUUUCUCAAUAUCAAGUAUAUUUGUUUAUCAAAUCAUUUCAAAUAUCAAAAGAUUCAUGGAAACAUCAUAAGACUCAUUCUUGUCUCUCAAUUUCACAUAUCAAUAUACAUUCAAUAGUCAAAUUUCUCAUAGAAAGGCAUAACUCAUGACACUUGUCUCAAAUUAUUCAAAAAUCAUCAAUUCAUAAUAAAAAUAUUUAACUGAUGGAACUUGACUUAAAUUGCUUAGAAACCAUCAAUACAUAAUGAUAAUGUACGGCUCAUGGAAUAAAUUCUCAAUUUAAGAAACAUGAUGGUGAAAUAAUCAUAAAUAUCAAAGUUAUUCAACUCAAAUCUCAUAAAUCAUUAAUUGAUAAAUUUGGGUGUAAACCCACUUGCAAUAUCAUGUAAAUCAAUAAUAGAAAGUAAAUCUUUAGGCACAAGAAUGAAAGGAGUGUUCUUGUUCAAACCCCACAUACCUUGGAUUUUGAUUUUUUUGGAUAUGUAGAAACUUGUUUGGAACUUCUUCCUUAUACUUUGAGACCAAGAUUCUUGAUGCCUUUGACUUGGGGAACUUAAUUCUUGAAUCACUUUGAAUCACUAUGGAGAAUUCUUGAAUUUAUUUGGAAGAAGAUUGGAUUUUUGGGUUUUAGAGGAAACCCUAAUCUCUAGAUGUUUCCUAGAAGAGAAAAGGAGAAAAGAAAGAAAAUGAUAUCCUCUUGUCUACUUAGAUAUAUAUAUAGGGCCAUAAGGAGCGGAAAUGACCAAAAUACCCUUUUGAAAAAUUUGAAAAUUGCAGAUCGGGGCCUAUGACAGUUGAUCUGACGGUCCGUCAGAUGAGUUGACGGUCCACCAGGUCGUCCGUCACUCAAGUGCCAAAUCUGGAACGUUCUGCCUCAGAGUGAAGGUCAGAGUGACGGUCCAUCAAAGGGUGUAAUGAUCCACCAAGUCGUCCGUCACUUGAGGGCCAGGAAUGGGACAUUCUGUCUCGGCCUGACGGACCCAUUUAACUGUCCGUAAACUUGUUGACGGUCCACCAACUAGGCCGUCACACGAUGGCCCAAAAAGAAGGUUACUUCCUUGGCUUGACGGAAGACUUGAAGGGCCACCAAGCCCCUGAUGGUCCGCCAAGUCUACUGUCAAACCUGGGCGUUCUAAUACCGUUUAGUAAAACAACCAUAACUCCUUCGUCCGAUAACAAAUUUUGAUGAAAUUGGUAUCGCUGGAAAGAUUAUUCAAUGGCAUACAUGAAAAAAGUGGAAAUUAGAGAAAUACAACAUGGUUUAAACAUCAAUCACUUUGAAAGUCAUACAUAUCCAUUCAAAAAGACAGAUUUAGGCUUACGGAAUGAUCGGGGUAUUACACUUGUUCAUCUAAAUUCAUAAUCUAAGGUAUGUGGGGUUUGAUCAAGGACAAUCCUCUUGUCCUUGUGACCAAAAAUUGUAUUUAAUUACAAAGAUAUAUGAUUUUACAUGUUUUCUUAUAGAAUUGAAGUAUGGGUUUAUACCCUAAGUUGUUAUCCUUGAGAUUAUGAUGUUUUCAAUGUUUCAGAAAUUGAAGUACAUGAGAAUGUUUAGAUUAUAAUGCAUAUUGCUGAAAAUUUUUAGAUUUCUAUAUGAUUUAUGAAUCUUUAUGAUAUCUAGUAUGCAUUUUGAUACGUCUUAACCUGAGAUUGAUAUAUGGGUCACUAAGCCCUACUUGAUAUUGCAAUUUUAAGAACUUUUGUGCUAUAAGAACCCAUGAUUUGAUUAUUUUGAGAUUAUUGAUAAAGUUUGACCUUGAUGGUCAUAAUAGCUUUGAAAUCUACCUCACUAAAUGAGAUUACAGAUUUUGUAGUUGGUUUUAUUAUAAACCAUGAGAUUAUUUUUGAAAGUGGAUUUCCUAUGAGAUGAGUGUAGCUAAUUAAAGGGAGUAGUAUUUAGCACCGAGUUAGGUAAGUUACUACGGUUUUAUACCCCAGAACUACGUGCCACCUUAGGAUUGAGAUUUAUGGGCUCGAGGCCGAGAUAGUGAUCAUUGAGUUGAGGUUAUACUCCCUAGAAAGAGUAUGACGCCUCUCCCGAAUGUGAGGUUUCUUCCUUAGAGGAUAAAACGUUGGACUCUUUGUAGCUCGCAUAGUGUAUGUCGGUUAAGAGAACCUCCCUAAUAGUAAGAUUUUCAGAGUAGUUUCUUAAAGUAUAUUUUCCCUUGAAGAAAGUAUUUUUCCCUGUUAUUAAAAGUAAUUAAAUAUCUUUUGAGUAUUUUCCCUAAAGUUUUAAAAGAUAUCCUAGUCAGUAAAGAUUUUUAGAUAAUGAGUGUGAAGGCUUACAAGCUUAUUCAAAUAUAGUUUUACUUGAGAUUUUAGUUUCCAAGUUAUGGUCUUAGCUUUCAGAUACAGAGGUGAGCACUUUACUACUUAGUCUAUAUGUUUUGAGAAGAGACUAGAAAUACAGAUUUUCAGAACCAAGUGUAUUGACUCAUGAGAUUUGUACUAUAUGUUCCAUUAUUCAUAAUUUAUGAGAUUUAUAUUUUUGAGUUAUUCAAGCUAUAUGAGUCAGUUAUAUCAGCACGCAUGAUUUCUAUAAAAGAUUGAUGAUAUUGUUGUUUUUAAUUAUUACAUACACCCCCAUAUACUUAGUACAUCCUCAAAGUACUAAUCCACAUAUACGUCUGUGUGCUACAUUGUUUCAUAAUGUAGGUCCAAGUGCUCAAUCUCAGCAGCAACAGUGAUCUCCGAGCAUCUCAUCUACAUCUUUAUCCUUGGUGAGUCCUUAUGGUUCAAGGAUCUAUAUCUGUAGAUUUUUCCAUUUUCAUAGUGUUUUGAGUAUUAUUUUUAGAUCAAUUCGAGUUAGUUGGGGGUCGGUCCCAAUGACUCUCUAGUUUAACUAGUAGAGGCUUUAUCAGGAUAGAUGAUCAGUGGUGCUUUAGACUUUUCAAUAUCGUGCUAUUCAGACAAUAUUCCUUUGUUAUUUCAGUUGAAAUAUGAUAUGACAGUACCUUUGUUUUUCUCUGUUUGUCGUUAGAGUAAGUUCUAAACUUAGUAGCAGGCUCAAUGGGUUAGCUUGGGGCUACUUGUAGCCUUAAGCACCGGGUGAUGUCUCGGGAUGAGAUUUCAGGUCGUUACAUCAGCAUCUGUUGUAACAGACUCUACAUCUAUUGUAAUAGACUCCACAUCUAUUGCAACAACCUCCACAUCCAUUGCAACAGACUCCAUAUACAUUGCCACAGACUACACAACUAUUGCAACAGAUGGAUAAUGUUUUUUCUGUUCUUCUCUUAUUUGACAUCAAUUUUUUCCUCUUUUUUGUAGAUAUAAGGAAUUGAAAGUUGAUCAACUUUUUCCCGACCAACACAAGAGGCUACAGUAAAUAUGGGUUUGAAGAAAUAAGCUGCUUGUAGAUGGAACCACUUCAUAUAUGAGAGGUAUGUAUUACUAAUAAUGUUAUCGUGAAAACACUCAUAGAGAACACUGAUUUUGUGAAUGUUGUUUUUACCAUUUAGCCAUUGAUCAUUCAAACAAUAUAUCUAUAAUUUUAUAGUUAAGUUUGAUAGAUCUAAACUGAUAAGGCUGAGGGACCAUGAAUAUAGUUCUGAUACCCUGUUAAGAUUUAAUGUCGGUUGUUGCUCAUGUUUAUGUGUCAAACAUAGUGAAGAGAUUAAGUUUUAGUGUCAUUUUAAAGAGAUUCAAUAGCGAUUGGACUAACUUUUAGGGUGCAUUAGACUCUAAGAGGGCCUUCGAAGCCUUCCACUGCUUCAACCAAGAAUAGAAACUAAUAUAGUUAUUGCCCUAGCUCAAAUUUAUAUGGUUGGGUUGAUCAGGAUGAUGACUAUAUGCCAGAAGGUGCGGUAAGAGCAUGCCUACUAGGGUAAAUGGGGGUUGAUGAAAGAUUAUAUCAACUGAGAGCUAAUUAAAGAGGACACAUAGGGUAGAAAGGAACUUCUAGCGAAUUUGGCCGAUGAAACUGGCUUAGAACUUGAGAAAUCUGAAUCAAGUACAAAUAUGAAAGUGUAUUCAGUAAUGAAAAAUUCGUCUAUUGUUUCUCUAGAAAAAAAAUAAUGCAGAUGGUUUCUUUGAUAGGGAGUUGCAUCUAGGUAGCGUGGUCAGGAUUAUCACCUAGAUAGAAAAUAGCAAAAGACCAAGAAAGCAGCCUUAUGAACAUCAAGGCUUGAAAUAAUGUAUAGUAAGUCUAGAAAACUUACGCCAAUAAUAGCUACAGUUAAAAUAAGGAAUAUAAGAGAAGACUGCAAUUUUUAAAUUUUAAAUUGCAUCCCAUGCCUUCUUGUUUAUGGUUUUGAUUAGGUCCACUGUUGUUGACCUGAUCGAAACCACAAACAAGAUUGAAAGGCAGAUUGAGUAUCAUUACUUCCUUAGCAAUAUAGAUAUAAUUGAUUGUGUUUUCUAGCCUUAGCAUGCUUUUAACAUAUCUUAGAAAAUAUCAGAGGCUUGUUGUAGUAUGUGAAUCCCAAUAAUUUCAAGCUUGCCUUCAGUUUGCCGAUUUGGUCUUCAAGUUUGUCGUUGCCGUCUUUGAAGUUGGUAUAGAGUUCCCGAUCUUUUGUGAGAUCGAUUAGGAACACUUUUUUCGAAGUUCUGGCAUUGUAGAAGGCCUUCUGAACACUUUCUUCAGAGGCCUUAAAUGAUACAAGGAGGGUCUCUAUGUUUGUUUUAGGUCAAAAUAUGUUGAUGCGCAGUCAAGCAGUGGUCCCAACAAUUGAAUAGCUCACUUUUAUCGAGCGUUCUCAAUACAGCUUGCUCAAACAAUCUUAAAGGGAUUUGAUAAAUUAAUUAGCAAGGAGUUACAUAACGUUUGAUCUAAAAUGACUCUACCAAGCCUAUCAAACAUUACGUAACUCCAGUCUCAUUACCCUAUCAAAAACCUUUGCUUGAGUUAGUGCACAAAUCAAACGAGCUCAAUCUCUUAGACUUUCUACUGGUCUCUCUUCUCCCAUAUAGAGGAUAGGAUAUCCGCCGUGCAAAAGUCUACAUUAUCGGUAGAAAUUCUUGCCACAAUGUAAGUCUUUAGAAGACACGACUAGUAAUCUCUCAAUAUCACUUUUAUGACUUUCUUGACGUCUUUUGCCAAUAUAUUGGAAUAAACAUAGCGAGCAAUUGUGCUUAGUUUGGUUUGUCCAUUCCAAUAUAUUAGCAAGAGACGUCAAGAAAGUCAUAAAAGUGAUAUUGAGAGAUUACUAGUCAUGUCUUCUAAAGACUUUUGUUGUGGCAAGAAUUUUUGUCGAUGGUGUAGACUUUUGCUUUGGCGGAUAUCUUGUCCUCUAUAUGGGAGAAUAAUGAUUAGAAGAAAGGCUGAGAGAUUGAGCUCGUUUGAUUUGUGCAGAUUGAGCUCGUUUGAUUUGUGCACUAACUCGGGCAAAGGUUUUUGAUAGAGUAAUGAGCCUAGAGUUACAUAACGUUUGAUAGGCUUGGUAGAGUCAAUUUAGAUCAAAUGUUACGUAACUCCUUGAUAAUUAAUUUAUCAAAUCCCUUAAAUGUUGUUUUAGCAAGAUGCAUUGAGCAACGCUCGAUAAAAGUGAGUUAUUCAACUAUUGGGAUCACUGCUUGAUUGUGCAUCAACAUAUUUUGACCUAAAAUAAACAUAGCGACCCUCCAUGUAUCAUUUAAGUCUUCUAAAUAAAGUGUUAUGAAGUCCUUCUACAAUGCCAGAACUUUGAAGAAAGUGUUUCCGAUCGAUCUCAUAAAAGACCAAGAACUCUAUACCAACUUCAAAGACGGCAACGACAAACUUGAAGACCAAAUUUGUAAGCUGAAGGUAAGCUUGAAAAUUAUCAAGAUACACAUACUACAGCAAGCCUCUGAUCUUCUCCAAGAUAUGUUGAAAGCAUUCUAAGGCAAGAAAACAUAAUCAAUUAAUCCAUAUUGCUAAGGAAGUAAUGAUACUCAAUCUGCUUUUCAAUCUUGUUUAUAGUUCUAAUCAAGUCAAUAGCAGUGGACCUAAUCGGAACCACGAACAAGAAGGCAUGAGAUACAAUUUAAAAUUAAGAAAUUGCAGCCUUCUCUUAGAUUCCUUAUUUUAACUGCAGUUGUUAUUGGCGCAAGUUUUCUAGACUUACUGUACAUCAUUUCAGCCCUCGAUGCCCAUAAGGCUGCUUUCUUAGUCUUCUGCUAUUUUCUAUCUAGGUGAUAAUCCCGACCAUGCUACCUAGUCAUAGCUCCCUAGCAAAGUGUCCAUCUGCACUAGUUUUUUCAGAGAAACAACAGACGAAUUUACAUUAUCGGAUACACUUUCAUAUUUGCACUUGAUUCAAAUUUCUCAUGUUUUAAGUUAAUUUUAUCGGUCAGAUUCACUAGAAGUUCCUUGAUACCCUAUGUCUCCUCUUCAAUUAUCCCUCAGAUGAUAUAGUCUUUCAUAAACUCCCAUUUCCCUCAGAGGAACUCCUUUUGGCAUAUAAUCAUCUUCUCGAACAACCCUUCCAUAUAAAUUUAGGCGAGAGUAAUUUCUAUUGGUUUUUCAUUCUUGUUUGAUGCAGUGCGAGGCUUCGAAGUCCUUGUCAGAGUCCAAUGCACAUUUAAAGUUAAGUCUAAUUGCUAUUGGAUCUCUACAAUGACACCAAAUAUUGAUCCCUUCUCAAAACUUAACACGCAUUAACAUUAGCAACAGCCGCUAGUAAUUCAUAAUAGGGUAUCUGCACCAUCUUCAUGGGGCCCUCAUCGUUAUCAAAUCGAACCUAUCAUACUUAAAUAUACAAUGCAUGAUCUUGUUUGAAUGAUCAGUGCCUAAUCGGUUAAAAACAACAUUCACAAAAACAUUGUACUUUAUGUGUAUUAUCCUAAUGACCUUAUCAGUAAUACUUAACUCCCACACAUAAUAGUGAAUCCAUUCAUCGGGACAUAUCCUAUUAUUCCUAGCCCAUCUAUGGCUUAAAUUGAAUAAACAAAUGACUAACAAAUUGCAACAGAUGCCACAUCUGUUUAAAUUGUCAAAAAAUUAGAAACAUCUGUUACGAUAAAUGAUCAAUCUUUUACAACAUAUGACAUAUCUGUUGGAAAAAUCAAACAGAUAUAUCCAUAUGUUGCAAUAGAUUGUCAAUAUAUUAUAAGUUAUCUAAUAGGUGGAAUGUAUUUUGCAACAGAUUACCCACCUGUUAGAUUUAUUUUAAAGCAAUUUUCAUUUCUUUUUGAAAUACAAUAAAAAGAUAAAAUGUUGUAUUUAGAUUCAUUUUUUAAAUUUACAUAUUCAAAAAGUCGCCAGUUUUAUUUAAUUAAGGGAUGAACAGUCGUGACUUUUUGACUUACCCUUUCGAAUUCAAUCAUUUAUAAAUAAGUCCAUCCUUACUCGUCCAUUCUACUACACUUACAAAUAGGGCUGAUCCAAAUUCAUACAAGAAGAUUUAUUUUGAGUCCUUAUGGGAACUUUAAAGGCAGUUUGAUGAAGUCCAGAAGGAUUUUGCCGACUUCAGAACAAGGCUGAGGAGGGCCCUGUUGCUGUCGGAUGAAAAUUGCUCGGUUGACAAUAAUAGUAAUACUACUACUACUACUACUACUACUAAUAAUAAUAAUAGUAAUAAUAAUUAGGUUAUAUUUUUUCUUUUAGUGUAUGUAUUUUUUAUUUUUAUAUCGGAUCUACCUAAGAGAUUCAAAAAUCUAUAUUUGGUGGUCGACUUUAAAUUUUUAAUUUUUAAUUUUUAUUUAUUAUUUAAUUAUUAUUCUGUUUAUUUCUUAUUCUCAAUAUGUCGACGGUUGGUGGUAGGGAUUGAACAUUUGUGACAGCAUAGGUUAAUCUGAUGUGACAGAUGGAUCAUCUAUUGCAACAGACGGUUAUUAAUAAAAAAGGGUUAUUAUUAUUAUUGAGAGGGUGAAAAGUGAUGACUUUUCGAUUAUUUAAUAUGAAAAACGGUUUGUGAAUAAAUAAUAAGAAAAUAAAUGAUAAACACAAUUUAUAACCAUAAAAGAAUAGUUAUUUAAUUUUAAUAACUGAUCGUGACUUUUUACCAUUUUUUGUUUUUUAAAUUUGUUUUUUAAAAUUAUUUAUUUAUUAUAGAAUAAAAAAGUCACAAUAUUGGAUUAAUUAACUUAUAUGAUGAUUGUUAAAAAAAAGGUGAACAAUCAUAACUUUUCGUCUAAAACUCAUUCAACAAUGUUGCUGAUGCAUCAAAUUCUCCAUCUGUUGCGACUGAUGUAUCAACUGUUAGAAGAAAUCAAAAAAUCUAUUAAAAUAGAUGGUCGAUUUGUUGCAACAAAUGGUAUAUCUGUUGCAACAGAUGGUUUAUCUGAUGCAACAGAUAUAUAAUCUGUUGCCAGAACUUGAUAAAAAUGGUUAUUAUUUUAUUAAAAAUGAUUAUUGAAAAGGUAUCUUCGAUUUUUAAAUUGAGAAAAAGGUAAUUUAAUAAUAAUAAGCUUAAAUGUCAUGACUUGUCACAAUAAUAAAAAACUCACCAGCUUGAUUUAAUUAAGUCAUUUCUUUUCAUAGAAAAUAAUAAGGAAAUAAAUGAUAAACAAAUUUAUAACCGUAAAAAAUGGUUAUUUAAUUUGAAUAAUUGACGUUAAUAUUAAAUAGGCGUCAUUUCUUUUCACAAAAAAUAUUUUGUUUUUAAAUCUACUUUUUUAAUUUAUAUAAUAAAAAAGUCAACAAAUUUGAAUUAUGAUAUGAUGAUAAUUUUUUUUAAAAAAAGAUAGAUUAUAUUUUGCAACAGAUAGAUUAUUUGAUGUAAUAGAUUUUCUGUUUUUUGCAACAGAUGAUAUAUCUGUUGUUACAGAUGAGUUAUCUGAUGCAACAGAUAUAAAAUCUACUGUUACAACUCAAUAAAAAUGUUCUUGAAAAGAACCAAUUAAUAAUAAUAAGCUGAAAAGCCAUGACUUAUCAUAAUAUUUCUUAAUUUAAUUAAGUCAUAACUUUUCACAGUAAUAAAAAAUGUAUCUAAUAAAUAGAGGUGAACAGUCGCGCCUUUUUGCCUAACACAUUCAAAUUCAAUCCUCUAUAAAUAGGUCCCUCCUUACUCAACCGUUCAAUCAACUAAACUCUAUUUAUUUAUUGCAUCUUGUGUUUCAUAUUACACCUUCCACCAAUUUCUCUUCUGUAAUACCCCAAAAAAAUUUUCAUUGAAAUUUUGUGCGUAAACAUAUUGGGUUCUAUCUUCUAGAAUACAUUAUAAAUUUUUUGUGUGAAAUGUCUUAGAUUAUGACCCACCGUUGCGUAGAGUAUCGAAUAAGAUUUUCAAUGAUAUGUGGAUCAUCCAAAACGGACACCAGAGCGACGAGUUAUGAACAUUCCGAUCGAAUUAUGAAUAGUAGUGAACAGUAAAACGUGCAGGAAAAAGUACUGAGCCCUGGCAUAUUUCUGCACCAAUAUUAAAUGAUCAUAACUACAUGUACAUAAUGAUCUGAGUGAUUUACUAUAUAUCAAUGGAAAGCUGUGCGAGUCCUCUUUCCAAUGAAAUUGGUUUCAUCCAAUUUGUCUAUUGGAGCAAAAAGUUAUGGUCGAUCUACUUCAGCCUAUCAAAAGUAAAUUUUUAGGUCAACUUCAAAUGAUCAUAACUCCUCGUAAAUAAUGAUCUGGGUGAGACACUAUAUAUCAAUGGAAAUAUAUGGGAAUCCUCUUUCUAAUGAAGUUGGUUUCAUCCAAUUUGAAUAUCGGAGUAAAACAUUAUGGUUGAUCUACUUCAGACUAUCAAAACAGUCCAUCAAAGGACAGAUUCGAGAAUUUUUUUGAUUUUUAGGGGCGUUUUGGUCAUUCUUCCUCACCCAAAAUACAUCCAAACCCUAUAUUAAAGCCUAUUAGAAGCAUUAUAUGUUAUAUUUCAUCAAACUCCCUCAAAAAGAAAACCCUAAGCUCCUACAUCCAACUUCAAGAACCUCCAAAGUUCANNNNNNNNNNNNNNNNNNNNNNNNNNNNNNNNNNNNNNNNNNNNNNNNNNNNNNNNNNNNNNNNNNNNNNNNNNNNNNNNNNNNNNNNNNNNNNNNNNNNNNNNNNNNNNNNNNNNNNNNNNNNNNNNNNNNNNNNNNNNNNNNNNNNNNNNNNNNNNNNNNNNNNNNNNNNNNNNNNNNNNNNNNNNNNNNNNNNNNNNNNNNNNNNNNNNNNNNNNNNNNNNNNNNNNNNNNNNNNNNNNNNNNNNNNNNNNNNNNNNNNNNNNNNNNNNNNNNNNNNNNNNNNNNNNNNNNNNNNNNNNNNNNNNNNNNNNNNNNNNNNNNNNNNNNNNNNNNNNNNNNNNNNNNNNNNNNNNNNNNNNNNNNNNNNNNNNNNNNNNNNNNNNNNNNNNNNNNNAAUGAUUUGACCUUUUGGUCUUAAUGGAGUUGUUUUAAACUCGAGUGUGAAAGAAAUCCAUAACGUGGUUGAUUUUGAUAGGUGGGAAGCAUGAUGGCUCCCGAUGUAUAUUUAUAUAUUACUGAAAUUGUUUUGUUGUGGAUUGUUUUUGAAAUGUUCUGAGCUAAAUCUGGGAGAAAUAUUUAGCACCCAGUGGGAGGUAUAAAGCGACCUUACUUCCCUAGAACUACGUGCCCACGUAAGAGUGAGGCUGAGGCUGAUUUAUAUAGUGAUCAUUAGUUUGUGUGGAUUUGAUAUCGAUAGUCCUACUCCGAUGGCAAGGAUAGGGAGGCUUUCCCCAACGUGGGUUAUACGUUAGACUCCAUGUAGCUCACAUGAUUUAUGUCGGUUAUAGGAUCUCCCNNNNNNNNNNNNNNNNNNNNNNNNNNNNNNNNNNNNNNNNNNNNNNNNNNNNNNNNNNNNNNNNNNNNNNNNNNNNNNNNNNNNNNNNNNNNNNNNNNNNNNNNNNNNNNNNNNNNNNNNNNNNNNNNNNNNNNNNNNNNNNNNNNNNNNNNNNNNNNNNNNNNNNNNNNNNNNNNNNNNNNNNNNNNNNNNNNNNNNNNNNNNNNNNNNNNNNNNNNNNNNNNNNNNNNNNNNNNNNNNNNNNNNNNNNNNNNNNNNNNNNNNNNNNNNNNNNNNNNNNNNNNNNNNNNNNNNNNNNNNNNNNNNNNNNNNNNNNNNNNNNNNNNNNNNNNNNNNNNNNNNNNNNNNNNNNNNNNNNNNNNNNNNNNNNNNNNNNNNNNNNNNNNNNNNNNNNNNNNNNNNNNNNNNNNNNNNNNNNNNNNNNNNNNNNNNNNNNNNNNNNNNNNNNNNNNNNNNNNNNNNNNNNNNNNNNNNNNNNNNNNNNNNAUUUUGUUAUCUUUCUGAAAUUCUUUUAUUCUUGGGUGAUGAUUACUCUGUUGAUAUUUGAGGGUUAUUUAUGAAAACCCCGUUGAUUUGUGUUGAACUGAAUGAAAAUGGCUCAAAGGGUUAGCUUGGGGCUACUCGUAGCCUCAAGCACCGUGUGACACUCCGGGACCCAUUUUCCAGGGCGUUAAACUUUCCUGACUCAGGUAAGUUUUUUUUCAUGCCAAUUUGUAGUAUAUGUUGUAUUACAUCCGGAUAUUCUUUUCUUUACUUUUGUUUUUAUGUUUUUUGUCAAUUCAUAUGUAUUCUAAAUAUGGUUGAUCCAGUAUGGGACAUUGCUAUUCUGCAAGACACCGUGAAUGAACUUCGGAUGCAGGUUCGUGACCUGCAAUGGGAAUUGGGAGCAGCUAGAGCAAGGAUGCUCUGUGAGAUCGCAAGCUGAGAAGGGCCUUGCUGCUACCGGUUAAGAUUGGCCGGUUGGCUAUAAUAAUAAUAAUAAUGCUGAUGAUAAUAAUAAUUAGAUUUUUUUAGUCUAUGUAUUUUUAUUUAUUUUUGUUUAAUAAAAAAAUAUGUUUGAUCAACUUUGACGUUUUAAUUCAAAUUUAAUUUUCAUUCUGUCUAUUAUCUUCUCAACAAAUAUGUCGACGAUUGGACAUAAGGAAUAAAUUUAAAUCCAGUAGCAGUAGCAAGAGUUGAAACAUAUUGGUUAUCUAUUGGGUUUGUGGCAGUGGCUGAUUUAUGUUAUUCAAAAUAGAUUACUCAUUUGUUGCAAUAGAUUACUUAUAUGUUGCAACAGAUAAUCAGUCUGAUGCAACAGAUAAUCAGUCUGAUGCAACAGAUAAUAAGUCUGUUACAACAGAUAACUAGUCUGUUGCAACAGAUAACUAGUCUGCUGUAUGGCUUUGACGUUUAAUUUAUACUCCCUCCGUCUUAAAUUACUCGUCCCAAAUUGAGAUGACACAUUGAUUAAGAAAAAUAAUUUAUAACAUGCCUAGUUUACCAUAAUACCCCUAUUAAAUGAUGUUUACAUUUUAAUUUGAAGAAAAAGUAAUUAAUGCAAAGGGUAAAACAUGAAUUUUUUUGUGUCUUCUUGAUUAAUGGAAAAAGACAUGUAAAAUGAGAAAUCAAAUUAGAAAAUUUGGAAUGGGUAAUUUGAGACGGAUGGAGUAUUUAAUUUUUAUUUUGUCUAUUAUUUUCUCAACAAACAUAUCGAUGAUUGGACGUAAUGAAUAAUUUUGAAUCCAGUAGCAAUAGCAAGAGUUGAAACAUAUUGGUUAUCUGUUGGGUUUGUGGUAGGGACUAAUUUGUUUUGUUCCAAACAAAUUACUCAUCUGUUGUAACAGAUUACUCAUAUGUUGUAAAAAAUAAGCAGUCUGAUGCAACAGAUAAUUAAUCUGAUGCAACAGAUAAUCAUUCUGAUGCAAUAGACAACUAGUCUGUUGCAUCAGAUAAAUCUUCUGUUGCAAUAGAUUACCCAUAUGUUCGAUUCAUGUUACGGGCACUAUAGAAGAAUAAACAUGAAUCCAAUAUAUGAGUCUUUUAUUGCAACAGAUUACUCAUCUGAUGCACCAGUUGAGUGAUCUAUUUAAAUUGUGGGUACUUAUGUUAGAUUUAUGAUCGGGUUCUAUCCAUUGUUGAAAAAAACAGCAGUAACUAUGUACCCAGAUGAUAAAUUCGAAUAAAAAUCAUAAUUUUACUUACCAAAGUCACCUAUGAAGUAAUGCUAGAGUGGAAAGUGAUGUAGGAAAUAAAAUUUGACCUAAGAAAUUGGUCAGAUAGCAGCAGUAGAAGUAACAAAAACAACAACAAUGGUCGACAAGAAGAAGAGGAAGAUGAUAAUGAAGUAGAAGAUGAUUAUAAUAAAGCAAAAGAUGGUGAAUAAAGUAGUAUGAAUAAUGAACAACAAUAAUCGUGAAGAGAGAGAGAAAAACAACGGAUGAAAAGAGAGAGAAACGCGUCUUUUUUCUUUCGUUUCCUGUUAUAUGAGCUAACAUUUGGAUCUAAAUUGAAAAACUUGUGGGUUAUUUUUAAAAAGGGAUGGGUAGGAACUAUUCUGGCCAGUAAUAGUGACUAACGUCCCUAUGCGCUUUAAUACACUACAUUAGAUAAUGAAUACCAAUCUCUAACAACCAAUUUUCACCUCUACAAACUUCACACAUCAUUCUCUUUCUCCUUAUUUCAUAAAUCUCACUCAGAUAGCUUAUGGCGGGAGUAUUUUCCAUGUUUACAUCAUAUCAUUUUGAACUUUUUAUGCCACUAUUUUUUUUAAGAUAAAUCUCACUCCCAACCAAUUAUAUCAUAUUCAGAUGCCAAAAACUAUUACUUUGGGGCUACAUUUUCACCCUUUUAUCUUUCUAUUUACAACUCUUUACUAAAUUUUUUUUACCAAAGAGCUUAGGAGAUUUGUAUCAAGUUGAGGUUAAUCAAGGAAGGAUUAGGCUACACAUGAUGUUACUAAAGAACAAGCUAAAGGCUCAACGGGGCUAGCUAAGAUUAUGCACAAAGGUGGUUCAAAAGAGGGUAUAAAAAAGAUAUGGCUAUCAAAGAAGUUCCUAAAUCAUCUCCUAAACUCACAUUCUUUAUUUCAUUUCACACGCACACCAGGCAAGUUCUAGCAUCAAUUGCAACAAGGAAUAUGCGAAUACCCUCAUACACACAUGGAACUUGCUUAACUCUAACAUGAUCAUUAUAGACUUUUAACCAAACAGUUAUAUGAAUUCACUUUAAGCCAACAAUCACCACACGAGUCAUAAAUUAGAACUUAGGUGUCUCAACAGUAAAGGUUUAUCACAUGCAUGCCUGUAUUAUUGUGUGACUCACUAGAAUAAAUUACACUUACUUGUUAGGUCCUAUACAUGACUGAUUUUCUCUUAAGACGGUCGUUAUCCAUCUAUCAUUGAGAAAAAUACCUAACUAUGACUACAAACUAACAUAUAUGUAGAAGCAAAACAAAUGCACUAAACUAUCAAAUUCAAAAUGGCAAAAUAAAAUGCACUAAAGAGAAGACAAAACAGUAAGCAAUCUAGAAACACUUCUAUCCACCCCACUCUCUAAGCAAAACACUGUCCCUAGUGUAAAUACAUAAAUAAAAACCUGGCUAGUCGGACUCUUCUUCCACAUUUAGGGUCAUGCCACCUGCAUCAGAAUCAUUAUCAGAGUCUUCCUCACUAGAUUAGGCCUCCAUGUCAGAAUCUAACAGUCAGUGAUCCUCAUCCGUUGGUACAUCAUCAUCUAAUGGUUCCUCAAAACUAGUCCCCACUCCACACAUAGCUCUAGCAUGCUUAUUAAGUAGAUAGUCAUAAUCCAGCUGGCGUAGCUCUGCAGCAGUAGGCACAUGGCCUCCACUCAUCAUAGUGAGCUUCGUCAUGCCAUAAAAAUGGUAGAAAAAGCUCUCUUCUCGUGGCUGAUGUUCAAUAGUACUAAGAAUUAUGCCUUGGCUGGUCUCUGCAUCUUUCACCUUUGUGACAUCCACUCUUUUUGGGUUCUGAGGUAACUUGUGAUCAGUUGGCUCUGCUUCAAUAUUUUUCUUUUUUUUUAAAAUAGCGGUCAACAAGCUUCCAAGGAUAAAUGGUGUCUUUUUAUGCAUCCUUGCUUUGCACAUAGAAGCAUGUAUAACCGCACCAACGUUCACAGGAACAUCAGUCAUCAAAGCAUAUACUAAACAUACUCGAUCGCGAGAGACUUUGGUGAACUGCUUUUCCGAAAUCAAGCUGGCAUUGACUAUCCUUAGCCAGAUACUAGCUUCUUUGUUCGAAAAUAUAUGAGAGGGAAUUGUAGUGGCCUUUGUCCUUGUGAUGGAACCACCGAGACAUAGACCUUGAACCGUAUAAAGUAUGCCUGAUAGCUCUAUAGUGAGGCCUGCUGUAUAAUUCCUUCAACAAUGAUCCACAUUCGGAGUUCCCAAGAAAGAUUUAAAAAAUCGGCCAUCAGAUAUAGGAUUUGCCCUCGAAUUUUAACUUCAUUCCCACUGGUAUUUGGGGACCAAUUAGCAUAAAACUCCCGAGUCCAAUCUAGAUUGCACUCACCCAUGUCUUGGAAAAUAAAGUCAAGUUUUAGUUCUAUAAUCCUAGCCAAUAUACGAGGGCAGUGCCUCGCCAAACUCUCCCUUUGAAUAAGCUCCAGUGGCACGUAUAUAUAUACUUUGUUAUCCUUGUACCACUCCUGACCAUCCUCUAAGACCUAUUUAAUUCCAAAAGUAUGUCGAGGCCCUGGAAGAGAGGAUGAGGUGGGUUUCUCCUUUCUUGCUCUUUUCUGUCCCUUUUGAGAUAUGGAUGCUUUGUCUUUUCCAGUGCUUCCUUUAGGAGCCAUAUCACCUGAGUGCAUUAUAUAAUCAUGUUAGCCACACUUAAUCAAAACUCACUAUAAUUAAGAAGAGGGUGGUGAAAUCACCACGCCAUACUUAAUUUGUUAGUAUAAACCAAUUAAGUGGUGUUGUCGGGUACUCAGACUUCACUGACAUACACUUUGAUCUUGGGUGCCAACAUUAUUAGCACAUUUGCAACUCACAUGGUGGAUUUUUUUUUUCUUUUGCGAGUCAUAAUUUCACUCCAUAAAUCCCUCACAUUCCACAAUAAUAUUGCAAUUCAAACUAACACACAAUUGGUGCACAAAAUCAAUUCGUAUUAACACCACCAAUUCCACCACUUUUACUUCAAUAAUGCAACUUUUGAACAAAAUUAUGCUUUACAACUUCAACAUAUCACAAUACCCAAACAUCAUCACCCUUCCACACUUUUUAUCAACAUCAUGUUCAACAAAAUAAGACGUGCAAUAGUGGUUACACAACAACCAUGUUCGUUGUGAACAAUUCAUUCACAUGUACAAACACAAAAUACUACAAAAUAAUGCCUUAAAUCUUCUACACCUCAAUACCCACAAGACACCAUGACUCACACAAAACAACCAACAAUAUAUUCAGAGGUAAAAUUAAAAUCUACAACAAUGAUGGUUUCCACAAUAAUGGUGUUCAUCUUCCCCAAGAGUUUCAAAACUACUUUUACAAAGCUAUGGCAAGAAUUUAAUCUAUAACCCUCAAAAAAUCAAUUAACUAUACAUAAAGUCACAAUAACUAAGGAUUAAGAAAGUAAAACUUACCUUUGAAGAUGGAAGAUUUGGAAAAGAAGAGGAAAAUUCUUGAGAUUGUUAAUCAAAGAGUAAUCUUGAAGGACAAAGAGAAUAGUGAUAGAGAAAGAUUGUAAGGUUUAGGGGUAAAAUAGGGAUAAAUUUGGGAAUUUAGGGUGUGGAGUCUAUUUAAAGAAUGAAAUCCGGGUUGGGUUUACCCAAGUUAAAAUCGGAUACUAUGCUGAAAUUUGAGUGGUGUGCGGCGCACAUGGUAUCGCACAAGGGUAAGUGUACGACGCAUACUAUAUUGCCUAACCCAAACAGUGAGCAUGUGCAGUAUGGUUGGCGUCGCACAUGUUAUCGUACAAGUUUAAGUAGGUGGUACACAACCUAUCUCAUACAUUAACUUAGGUGCCGCAUAAGCAAUUGCCAACUUGAACCAAUAAGGGUGUAUGGCUGGGUAAGCGAUGCAUAAGCAAUCGCCUAAAGAAAGGUGUGCGGCGCACAUCUUGCCGCUCAAGUUAAGUUAGGCGCUGCACAAAGCAACGCCCAUGCGAGGCAGUGGGCUUAGGCUUAAUAUUAGGCGACGCCUUUGCCAUGGCCUAUGUAAACUUGGCUGUCACACACCCUAUAGUACACUUAAAGUUGGACGCCAUGCACCCCAUUCUCCAUAUUAGGCAUAAUUUGAGUCACAACUCUCACACGAAUUGAGCCUUAACAUUUUUACCAAUCCAACUUACCUGUAAUGUUCCCGUUACUCCUAAACUUACCACCUUUAAUAUGGCUCAAUUUCAAACUAACUUUAGAACCUAUCACCUCUUUGGUGCUUCAAACACCUACACUUAAUAAAAAAUAACUAAAAAUGAUUAGAAAGGUGGGUUGCCUCCCACCAAGCAUCGUAGUUUCGCUCGUGGCUCGACUCUGACUUUUGUAUUUUUUUUACAUAUAAAAAUCAAAGUAAAAUCAUGGGUUGACUCCCAUGUAAUGCCUGAUUUAUUAUCAUGGCAUGACUCAUUUAUCUUGAUUACUCAUACUUCAUCGAGAUAGAUAGUAGCAAUACUUUUUAUCAAGUCUUUUGGACCGAUAUAAAGUUUGACUCGUUGCCCGUUAACUUCGAAGACACGUCUAUCUUUAUUUUUAAGUUCGAAUACUACAGAUGAGUAAACUUGACUCACUUUAAAUGGGCCUAGCCACUUGGACUUAAGUUUACCUGGGAACAGUUUGAGUUUGGAGUUGAACAGAAGCACCAAGUCACCUUUCUAGAAAUCUCAUUUUUCAAUCCUCCGAUCAUGAUACUUCUUCAUCUUCUCCUUGUAUAGGUCUGACCUUUCAUAAGACCUGAGAUGGAAUUCAUCUAUCUUGUUCAGUUGUGCCAGUCUUAGAUCCGCUGCUUUCUUCCAAUUCAGAUUUAACCUUUGAGUGCCUAUAAAGCCUUGUACUCCAGCUCUAUCAGUAAGUGACAAGCUUCGACAUAGACUAACUAAUAUAAUGACAUACCGAUGGGUGUCUUGAAAGUAGUCCGAUACACCCACAAGGCAUCAUCGAGCUUUCGAGACCAAUCUUUCCUACUAGCGUUCACCGUUUUGGCUAGGAUGGCUUUAAUCUCCUAAUUUAAAACCUCCACUUUCCCACUAGUUUGUGGGUGAUAUGGAGUUGCUACUCUAUGCUGUUUCACCCCAUAUUUUGCCAAGGCAGCUCGAAAUACUUUGUUGCAAAAAUAAGAUCCUCUAUAGCUUAUAAUAGUAUGUGGUACUCCAAAAGGAGAGAAGAUGUUCUUUUUGAGAAAUACAACAACUCUCUUUCCUUCAUUAUCAUCCAAGGUGAUAGAUUCAACUUAUUUUGAUACUUAAUCAACAAUAACUAGAAUGUAUUUUAUCCCAUACGAGCUUACAAAAGGGCCCAUGAAAUCGAUGCCCCAGACGUCAAACAAUUCUACUUCCAGCAUCUUCAUCAAAGGCAUCUCAUGUCGCUUGGAGAUUGACCCCUGCCUCUGACAUUGGUCACAACUUAGCACAAACUCAUAAGCAUCCUAGAAUAAAGUUGUCCAAUAAUAGCCACUCUGCAACACCUUUCUAGCAGUUUGAUCACCUGCAUGGUGACCUCCAACUGGGAAAGCAUGACAUGCUUCCAAUAUACUCAAUACAUCUACUUCAGGCAUACAUCUCCUUAUUAUAUUAUCAGCACACCGCCAAAAUAGAUACGGCUCAUCCUAGAAGUAAUGUGUCACAUCAUGAAGGAAUUUAUUUCUUUGAUGAAAAGAAAGAUUUUUCGGAACCAACUCACUCACCACAUAGUUUGGAAAAUUAGCGUACCAAGGCAUUUUCUCCAUAACAACAGCCAAGAUCUCUUCAUCCAAAAAUGUAUCAUUGAUCUUUAUUUCUUCUCUAACUGCUUGCUCACCUUCCAUCCUAGAUAGAUGAUCUACAACUUGGUUUUUGCAACCUUUCCUAUCUUUGACUUCAAAAUCAAAUUCUUGGAGCAGCAACACCCAUCUAAUAAACCUUGGUUUUGUAUCAUUCUUAGCAAUUAAAUAUCUCAAGGCUAUGUGGUUAGUGUGAACUACCACCUUGGUUCCUAGCAGAUAAUCCCAAAAUUUCUCAAAAGCAUAGACUACAGCAAGGAGUUCCUAUUCGGUGAUGGUGCAGUUCUUUUGAGAUCCAUUCAAUGCUUUGCUGGCAUAAUAGAUUAGAUGAAAUAAUUUAUCCUUCUUUUGCCCCAACACAGCUCCAAGGGCAAUACUGCUUGCAUCACACAUGAUCUCAAAUGGUUUUAACCAAUCCGGUGCAACAAUGAUAGGGGCUUUAACCAGCUUUUUUUAAGGCAUUCGAAUGCCUUCAAGUAAUCAUCAUCAAAGGAGAACUUAACUUCCUUCUUUAAAAGUUUGCAAAGUACGUUUGCAAUCUUUGAGAAGUCCCUUAUAAACCUCUGGUAAAAGCCAACAUGUCCAAUAAAAAAACUACGCACUUCCUUCACAAAAAUGGGAUUUGGUAGAUUCUCAAUAAACUCCACCUUAUCUCGAUCUACCUUUAUCCCUUUUGCUAAAAUUUUGUGCCUGAGAACAAUGCCCUCUUUUACCAUAAAGUGGAAUUUCUCCUAAUUGAGCACCAAAUUGAAUUCCACACAUCUUUGCAAGACCCUACUCAGGUUCGAUAAACAUAGCUCAAAUGAAAAAAUCAUCCAUGAACACCUCCAAGGUGUUCUCCACCAUAUCUGAGAAAAUAGACAUCAUACACCUUUGGAAGGUAGCAGGUGCAUUACAUAACCCAAACGGAAUCCUCUUGAAUGCAAAAGUUCUAUACGAGCAUGUAAAUAUCAUCUUGUCCUAAUAUUCAGGAGCAAUACAGAUCUAAUUGUAGCCAGAAUAGCCAUCUAAGAAGCAAUACCACCCCUUUCCUACCAACCGAUCAAGCAUUUGAUCCAUGAAGGGCAUUGGAAAGUGAUCUUUUAAGGUCCAUAAGUUUAGUUUUCGAUAGUCCAUGCAAACCCUCCACCCAAUCAUAGGCCUGAGAGGAAUCAACUCAUUCUUUUUAUUUGCAACAAUAGUCAUGCCCCCUUUCUUGGGCACACAUUGAACUAGGCUUACCUAUUUACUGUCAGAAAUAGGAUAAACCACUCCUGCAUUCAGCCACUUAAUAAUUUCCUUCUUAACCACCUCUUACAUUUGUGGGUUAAGUCGGUGUUGAUGCUCGAUGGUUGGAGUACAGUCUUCCUCAAGUUGUAUCUUGUGUGUGCAGAUGCUAGGGAGAAUGCCAAUAAUAUCAUCAAUAGUCCAACCUAUUGCUCUUUUGUACCUUUGAAGCACUGAUAUAAGUUAUUCCACCCACUACUCGCCCAAAUCAGCUGCAAUAAUCAUGUGUAACGUGUUUCCAUUGCCCAAAAACACAUACUUUAAGUGCCCUGGUAGCUCUUUCAAUUCCAACACCGGUGGCUCUUCAAUGGAUGGCUUCGCCGGUGGUGUUGGUCCAUUCUUAAGAUCAAGAUCUAGCUUCUUAAGAGCAUAAGAGUAUAAUCCCAUUUCUACCAAAGCACAAAUAGUCUCUUCAUACUCCUCAAUGCCUUCACAAUUAAAAUUCAUAAGCACUACAGCUAAAGGCUCGAUAACAAACUUCUCCUCUAUUGGCACCUCCCGCUCAUCCUCAUAAUAUACAUCAAUAAUUGAGAACACACUUAUUUAUUUAUGAUGUUGUAUUGAUUAGCACAUAUCAAAGCAUACCACUUCAUCAUUCAUCCUAAAUGAGAGCCCAUUAGCUUGCAAAUCAAUCAGCACACUUUCGGUUACGAGGAAAGGUUGACCUAAGAUUAUGGGAACCUCAAAGUCCACCUCAUAAUCCAGAAUUAUGAAAGCAACAGGAAAUAUGAAGUUAGCCACCUUCACCAGCACUUCAUACAAAAUACCAACAGGUCAUUUUACCGACCUAUCCGCCAUCACAAGUCAUAUGUUGGUGGGUGUGGGAUCUUCCAAACCCAACUUUUUAUAAAUAGCUAUAGACAUUAGAUUAAUGCUCGCUCCCAGAUCACAUAAGGCCUUAGCAAAUUUCAGAGACCCAAUCGUACAAGGAAUAGUGAAUGCUCCUGGGUCUGCCUUCUUUUGCACCAAGGACCUAGUAGAAAUAACACUAUAAUGAUGGAGAUUAUCCACCAGUUCGUAGCUCACUGCUGUUUUCUUCGUCACAAGAUCCUUCAUAAAUUUAGUAUAUCUUGGUAUUUUCUCAAGUGCCUCUAUCAAAGGCACAUUUACUGUCAACUACUUCAACAUUGCCAUGAAUUUACUAAACUUUGUGUCAUCAACCUUUUUUUUCAAUCUCUGAGGGAAGAGAGGUGGUGGUUUUGGGAGAGUCUUCACUACUACUUUCUUUUCCUUCUCUUUCCCUUUUUCCAACUCAUCAACCUAUUGAUGAUUAGAAAGGAUAUCAAUACUAUCCAGCUUUUCAGUCUCAAUUAGAUUACCUUCUUCAAGAUCAACAUAUUCAUUCACAGCUUUACCUAAAAAAGUGCCUAAUAAAACCUUACCACUCUAUGUGGUAAUAGCCAUGCACGAUCCAUCAUUUUGAGGGUUCUGAAUUGUAUCACUUGGUAGUAUUCCACUCUUCCUAUGAUUCAAUACUGUAGAGAGUUGAAUGAUUUGCUGUUCUAACUAUUUGAUUGAAGUGGAGUGCGAGUUUACUAACUGACUCAUAGAAAACAAAUUGUUCUUCAUGGCAGUCACCCCUGAGUUGGUAGCCUCAACUUCUUUUAAUAAUUUCUCCAUCAUGUCCUCCAUGGACAUCUUUCUAGAGCUACUUGCAGCAUUAUCUCUACUUCCAUGAGGCACAUAUAUCCCACUUCUAUCAUUCUUGCUCUUCUAGUUCCCUUGAUCCUGAUCCUUAUAUCCAGCCUUAUCAUAAUAAGUCCGACCUUGAUUUCCUUGGUUAUUUCCUCGAAAAACCUCCUGGUUAUUCAAAUAGUUAGCCUCUUCUUCCAAAUCAGAAUCAUCUUUACCUUGGGAUGCAACAACUUUCACUUUUUUCAGUCUUUGCAGAGAAUAAGUGCUUGGUCAACAAAUCCAUCUGCGUUUUCAAGUGUGCCAUGUCUUGAUCACGUUCUUCCUCUUUCUUACGUUGUUCUGCAGUCAUGCCAAUAGACACAGUAGGUCUUGCUACCAUAGAAUCCCUGGCAUGCUAAGCUCUACUUUGUUUGGUUAUUCGAUCAAGCAUUUUUGAAUCCUCUUAAAAAGUGAGAUCCACAAAUGAUCCCCUUGCAACUUUAUCAACAAAUGGCUUCGUAAUAGUGUUCAAAGCUCGAUAAAAAGUCUCCAUCAGAUGAAUAUCUGUUAUAUUAUGGUUUAGGAAUUGCAUCAGCUUCUUUUUUAACCUAUUCUAUGUCUCGUGAAGAGCUUCAGUUGGGAGCUUUCUAAAGUUACUGAUCUCAUCCCUCAACUGUACCCUCCUAUAAGGUGGAAAGAACCUUUUUAGGAAAGCCACUUUCAACUGCCUCCAGUUGGUUGUAGAACCGGGCGUCAUCUUAUUAAGCCAUAAGGUUGCCUUCCCAGACAAAGAUAACAAAAAUAAACAUAGGCGGAUGGCAUUUUGUCCCACUCUAGGGUUAUCAAAGGACUUGAAAAUAGUGACAAAGUUCACUAAAUACAUAU